RNAcentral lists this long non-coding RNA (57618 nucleotides) under Sorghum bicolor (sorghum). RNAcentral describes it as "long non-coding RNA (SBIC_LNC012416)". Lineage: Eukaryota; Viridiplantae; Streptophyta; Magnoliopsida; Poales; Poaceae. The record is from RNAcentral.
GUGGUCAUGGUCGCGGGGGCGCUUUCGUCUAAAAUUGUCAUGAUUGUCGCGCCGCCUAUCCCAACCUUCCCUGUGAUCACGGUUGUCGGGACGGCGGUGGCUCCUGUUGUCGAAACGACCGCGAUUAUCAUCUCGCCGGGGAGGCUGGUCGGGACCUCUCGCAUCAUCUCGAAUAAGUUUUUCUGCGUCGUCGGCGUCGGCGUAAUUUUUAGCCGUGGCGAGGAGCUCGGCCACCGUUGUUGGCCUUUUGCACAGCAGCUUGUUCCUCAGUGCUUCAAGGAAGCGCAGCCCCUUGAUGAAAGCAGAUAUGACCUCGUCAUGGGAAAUCUUCGGGAUCUUAAGGCGCAUAUCCGAGAAUCGUCGGAUGUAAUCGCGCAAAGGCUCAUUUUUCCUGUCCCUUAUCCUUUCGAGGUCGUACUUGUUUCCAGGCUGCUCGCACGUGGCGAUGAAGUUGUCGAUGAAAGCCUGACGCAGCUCCUCCCAAGUGUCGAAGGAGUCCUCGGGCAGGCCAAGGAGCCACUGGUGACCAGCCUGGUCGAGGACUACUAGGAAGUAGUUGGCCAUGACGUGCUCGUCUCCUGCUGCUGAUCGGACGGCGAUCUCAUAAAGAGUGAUCCAGUUUUCCAGAUUUUCCUUGUCGUCAUAUUUUUUGAUUUUCUCGAGCUUGAAGUUGCGGGGCCACACGACCUGGCAGAGGUGUGAGGAGAACUGCCUCAGGUCCGGGGGGCCAUGUGUUGCGUCAUAUUCGAUACGAUGCAGGUUUUCGUGAACUGCUCUAUCCGUGGCGCGCCUGUUGAUGCGGUCUCGGGCGUCUUUGGGAGGGAUGUUGUAUCGAAGGUCCCUGUGCUGGUUUACUUCCUGACCACGCCCAUGAUUCUGCUCGUGGCGACCGCCAGCAUCCCGACUGCCAUCGCCAUGCCGUGAGUCUUUUCGAUGAUUGUCGGGGGAACGGCUGCGGUGGUGCCUGCUGGGCUGCGGUGAGGUCCGGCUGCGGUGAGUCUGGUCGGAGGUAGCCUCCGUAUAGGAGACGGGUUGGACUCUUUUGUGCAGAGUGGCUGUCUGUCCCAUUGCGGCGAUCAGAUGUGCUCGAAUGCUGGUUCGGACGCCCUGGCACUCGGCAGUAUCAGGGAGCCGAUCUAAGUUGGCCUUGGCGACAACCACGUUGGCGCUUGGCGUUUUGUAAACUGGCUGAUCCCCGACCAUGUCGAAACCGUCGCUGAGAUUAUGCGGCGGGAUUUGACGUUCCUCGUCUGCGCGUCGUCGCGCGCGAUCGGCGUUACGCUGCUCGCGGAGGUGCCUCUGUUCGUCUGUUUCUCCAUCGACGACCGGCUCGUUGGCGCUGACAUUGAAAACAAUGUCUCCUCGGCACGGCGGGAAGACCGGGAAACGAGGGAAGCCCGGGGGAUGUGAAGGCAAAUCCAGGUCGUAGUCCUCGUCUUCGGAGUUUAUGACCUCGGCUGGGACGGAACCAGUGCUCGAUUUUGUGCUGGAAGCCAGGCCGUCCCGUAGUUCUCGGAUCGUCACCAUGUUAACGUAGUGACGAGUCGGUCGACCGUUCCGUUUUGGCAGCCAACCCGCCUUGUUGAAAAGGGAUUGGACGUGCCGUGAGUAGAGAGAGGCAGAGUUGUUCAGACCGCAAGGGUAAUCCUCCUCCGGGUUAGCUUCGAGCCUGACGAAUCGUCCUGAGGGAGUUGAUGUUAUUGUCAGAGACGUUCUCAGCCGUUCGUGUGUAAUGACACGAGUUGGCCGGUGGGAGUUGAAAAAAUCCGCUAGAGCGGCUUGAUCAGGCUGACGCAAGAUCCCAUCUACUAGUUGGGAAGCUUCGAGUAUCUUGGAAUCAGCGCGAUCAAGUGCUUGGAGAAGAUCCGAGCAGUCGAUCUCCUUCCCCUUGUAGCGUGGGAGUGGUGGUCGAGCGCUCGGUGCCGUCAUCCGAGUUGUCGGAGGCGACGUCACCCCAGAUUAGAUCUGGGUUUCUUCCGAAACCGUGGUCGUGGGACCACCGCCGCACGUCGUCCACGUGAUCUGGCCGAUAGUGAACGUGAGGCCUUCAGGCACGGCUGCGGAAGCUGGAACUAUGACCAUCUUGUUCGUCGGGAGAGCUGUACGCACACCACCUACCUGGCACGCCACUGUCGAUGAAAGCUAGUCAGCAGUCUACCUUGGGGUAUACCCACGGUAGUAGUUUGUCGGUAGACGGUGCGCAAACUACGAACUCGAUGGUGACGCAAGACACGGGCAAGCUUUUUAUCUAGGUUCGGCCGCCGAGUUGGCGUAAUACCUACGUCCUGCGUCUGGUUGUAUUGAUUUGUGUUUAGAGAAUCACCUGUCCUAGGGGGGUCCCUUGCCCCUCCUUAUAUAGUCCGGAGGGCAGGGUUAUAGAUAAGGAAACUAAUCCUAGUCGGUUACAAUUGCCAUAGAUAGUUCGAUAUCAAUUCCUAUUCUAACCGACUAGAAUCUUGCUUGAUCUCCACGUCUUGUUUCCUUGCACGAAACUCCAAGCUGUCGGAUCAAGCCUUGAGCUUGUCUCGUAAUGGGCCAAGCCUCCUGGCCCAAAUCUAGCCGUAAGGGUAUAGGGGUUUAUACCCCCACAGCGAGGUUGUUCCGGCGAUCCUGUUCGCGUCCAGGGAGAAGAAGCGAGCGCAUGAGCAACUGGAGCACGAAAAGAACUUGAAACGGCCGCUAGAGAGGUGUGAUACCGACUGGAACACCGUGGCCACGGGAAGAGCUCCACGGCGGCGGUCCCGGCCGGAAUUGGAGAAGACAGAGAAGCUCCGGCGAUUGAGCUGGUCAGAGAAAGAGCGAGGGGGUGCGCUGAGCUCGCAAGGAGGUGGCGAAUGCUCUGGGUUGCUCAAUUUGGCUUGAGAGAGAUUGGGUGCGACGAAUUUGAGAGAAAAGCUCGUCGGGGUUCCUUGGUUGUGGACAGGGAAAUCGGGCGGCGUCGCCCACGCUGGCGCUCAAAGGGGAGGAGGAAGCGAGCCCGGGGCGUCCACGUCGCCUGGCGGCGCAGGCAGGCAAGCAGGCUGCGUGCCUGCACGCGCGCGGCGGCCGUGCUGGACAGGGGGCCGGUGAUCCUCAUCGGAUCACUAUAGCUGACCCUUAUCCCCUCUUCUCUGUCCCUUUGCAAAAUUCGGCCAAAACUUGAACUCAAGCCAAAUUGCCACCAAAAUGAAAGUUGUGUAAAAUUUUAUAAGCUAGAAAUCAUAUUUUGGUGACCAGAGCUAAUUCUGAGUGGAACAUGGUGAAUUUGUCAAAACAGUUUGCAAUUCAAAUCCUAAUUCAAGGAAAUUCAAAUUUUUGAAUUGGGGACAAAACAGAGUUUCCAAAAUUACUUUUGAUUUUCCAUAGCAACUUGAAAAACUCCCAACAUGACAGUUGUUCAAAUUUUUGAGCUCUACAACUUUCAUGUUGGUCACUUUUCAAAAUUCCAAGUAGAUUUUGAAUUGGAGAUUCAAAUUGAAAAGGGGACACUUUCUGGAAAUUUGUAUUUUCAAAAUUACUUUGAAUUUUGUAUUGAAACUUCAAAAACUCAAAACACCAAAGUUGUACAUCUCAACGAGAUCUACAACUUUGCUUUUGAACUCAACCUCAAAUUUUGCUUGGUUUUUAAAUUGUGCAAAAGGGGGCAAUUCUAGGGUUCAAAAAUCAGGGUUUUCCCCCCUAAUCUUUCGGAAAUCUUUCACCCUAGGGUUUUAGCAACCAACACAAGCAUCCAAACACAAUAUAAACACACUUUAAUUCCCUAAGCACAUUCAUCCAAAUUAAACUUAUUUCAAGUUAAUGCAUCAGGGUGUGCUUAACAAAUAUGUGGUGCAAUGUUGAUGAUGACAUGAUCCAAAUUUUAGUAACCGUAACGUCAGGGAUGUUACAGUGUCCGAAGUAGAAUUAGGGGUACAAAGAUACCCACCUGAGUGGAAAGAAUGGACAUGUGUCCAACAGUGGAAUUAGGGGUACUUGCUGCCCAUUUGAAAAAAAAGAGAGAAAAAAGAAAAAAAUGAUAGCCCAUGGUCCCUCUAAUAAGCUACAUGCCAGUAAGAGAUGACAAACUUUUCAAAAAGGUCAAAGGUCUUCAUCUAGGAGUAUGACAUUCCUCUCCCUGGCUCCGAGCAUUGACAUAGAAAAAUGCAAAGUAAGUAUGCUAAAACUUUUAAAGCUCUACUUAUAUAUCUUUCGAGAAGAAAGCAAAUGCCUCAGUUUUAAUUUGCAGACUUAUAAAAAACUCCAGAACAAAGGUAAGACAGAAGAACUUGAGACAUAGUGCUUGACUUGAUCAUUCUGUUUUUCAAUCACUUAAGACCUUAGUGAUAACUUAAAAACCCCAUAGUAAAAGGCAUAAAAGUAACCCCUAUUUUCUUGAUGAUUUUAGCUUUGCUCAGGGACGAGCAAAGGUUAAGCUUGGGGGAGCUUGUUGACGGUCCUUCAUGCACACAUUUAACCAUCAACUAAUCAUGCAAAGGGACUUAUAUGCAACCAACACCUAGACUUAGGGUUUCAUCUGACAAAAUUCCACGAGUUUUGGUGUUUGUCUAUUUCUGCAGGGGGUUAUCAGGAAAUAUGGAAGAAAGGCCCACAUGUCGGGAUUACAUAGAGAUAUUAACGUGCCGCGCAAUUUUCUACCAUCUAGAAGACUCCAGAAGCCACGGGAACAAACGGGAAGGCGAUCGGGCUCGGAGGCAGGGCGCCCGCCCUACUCUCUUGGGCGCUCGCCCUGCUACAGUGCCCAAUCAGAGUCGUUUUCGCGGAUCGUGCUCCACCAACCUAAGGGAUCAUGGAAAAUCGUGCGAUUAAUGUCGGUUUGAUCCAACGGCCCAGAUUCACUUGAGGGGACUAUAUAAGCAGACCCCCUGGCCCCUGGAGAACAUACCUCUUCUACAGAAUCAAAGUUAGGGUUUCAAUUCUUCAUCCAAGUAGAGAGGAUCCCUCUAGUUCAUCUAGUUCUACCUCUAGUUCAUCUAGUUCUAGUUCUAGUUCAUCUAGUUCUAGUUCCUCUAGUUCUAGUUCUAGUUAGUUCUAGUUGUAAUCUAGAAAAUAGGGAGGGAGAAGAGGAGAGCGGAGGAGGAGGAGCCGGAUCUGUCGGAUCUUCCUCAACAUUGUACUUUUGCAGCAACUGGUUCGUUCUUCAUCGUUCUCCAGGUUCUUCAAUCCAUAAUUCCUGAGUUCUUUAAUUACUUUUAUUUACAUUCAAGUUAUUUAUUGGAUUCCCGCUUGCAUCAAGUGCUAUAAUCUUUGCAACAUUAGAGUAGUAAUUAAUAGAUUAGACGUCGUGUUUAGUCUUGCAAUUACCUAGAAUUGCACCCAAUCCUGCGGAUUGUUGUGGUAGCCCUAGGGUAGUGACAGCCCUAACGGUCGACGUAUUCCACCUCGUUCGGAUCGGUGUUUGUAGGACCGUAGUUAGAGCUUCCUAGCCCCCUCCUCAUCUCUUUCUGUGGUUAGUGUUCUGAUGUCCCGAAAUAAAUAAUCUUUGAAGUAAUUCUUGAUUCUUAGAUCAACUAGAGAACUCUCUGGAAACUUCCUCUCUUCCCACCAAAAAAUAUUCUAUAGUUAUCCUUGGGCAAUCUUGAAUCUUAAUUAGUACACUCACGUUCCCUGUGGAAAAUCGAUACUCUGGAAUACUCUCGGGUGAAAGCUACAUCGGUAUCCGUGCGCUUGCGGAUUUUUCUGCUUGCGUUUAAAAUACCCAAUAGACACCAUCAACAAGAAGUGACCAUUGCCAUCUACUAAAGUUGUCAAGCUGACAGAAGAAUGUAGCGCAGCUAUACUCAAUGAGCUGCCCGAGAAGAAGCAGGAUCUUGGGUGCCCCACAAUCUCUUGCUCAAUUGGGGCCCAGCAAUUCGACUACGCCCUAUGUGAUUUGGGGGCGAGUGUGAGCAUCAUGCCGAAAUCAGUCUUUGAUAGGACGAACAUCACCAACUUGGAGCCAACCACCAUGACACUCCAGUUGGCAGACUCGUCAGUCCGGUACCCGGCAGGGAUUGCUCAAGACAUCCUUGUCAAGAUCAGAGGAUACUAUGUUCUAGUGGAUUUUGUGGUGCUCGACAUGGAGCUCACUAAAGAACAUCUUGCUUGAUUUGCAGUGCUCAAGGUGAACGCCAAGAAGCACCUGGACGAGCUGGUCAAGGAUCGGGACUCCUGGAAGGUCAAUUGUUGUAAGAUCUGGAAAGGAGUGUCCCCGGUCCUGGACUUGAUCAGCCCCGAGCUACCAGAGAGCCAGCCCCACGCGCCGAGAUUGACGCCAGUUGAAAAGGCGCAACGGGCGUGGGACUGGCUUCAGCAGUUCGUGAAGGACGCCGGGGAGUUUGCUGGCGCGCAUAUCCUUAGCAUGGUGCGUGCCCAUUACCCCCUGGUCGACUUGACCAGGCUGGAGAAGGGGUAUCCCAAGGAGGUCGGCCCGCAGGAGGCGGACGAGCUUCGGGGUGGUCUGCUGGACUUGUCGUCGACGGUGAUCGGCGACAUCAAUCUAUGCGGAACGGCCACUCCCCCCGAUCAGCCGGGUUCAGAUAGGUCGGCCAGGGAGCUGUCGGGCGCGUCUGCUGCGGGAGAUGGGCGGUCGACGCCUGCGGUCUCGACCAGCCAGGCGCCGGUGGCCCCGACCCCUUCGUCCGGGCAGCAAGGCCAGGCGGGUGAUCAGCCCGAGAAGUAGGCCAGUAGGAUAGUCUGUAGGAGUAGACUAGUGUCCGCCCGUCAGGGUGUUUAUUGUAAACUUUGUAUGUAAAGUUUGUAAUAAAGUUUGCUUAUGUCAUGACUACUAUUUUGAGUGCUGUACAGCUAUCUGAGUGACGUGCCACUGCAUUUGAUUUCGUAGUCGCUAAGAGUUUCCAUCGCAGAUGACUUUCCGGAUUCUGCGUGAAACAAAGUGUAGGCAAAAAGGAAAACUUUUUUUACUGACAGCCAUAAGACAUUUACAAGCAAAAGUUACUAGAACUUAUGGAUAAAAUCGGUGCAGUUUGUCGAUGUGCCAAGAGUUAGGCACGCGUGUUCCGUCUGGGUAUGCCAAUCUGUAGGAUGUAGGUCGUGUGACUUCGGCGACCACGAAGGGUCCUUCCCAGGGGGUGGAUAGCUUGUGCAUUCCCUCUUGGCUUGUUUUCCACCUAAGUACCAGAUCACCGACCACAAAAGAUCGGUCCUUGACGUUCCUGUUAUGGUACCGCCUGACUGCCGCAAGAUACUUUGCCGUUCGGAGACAAGAACUUAGACGCUUUUCCUCCAUGCAGUUGAUUUCAAGUUCUCUGGCGUUGUCGGCUGUUGAUUGGUCGAAGUUUUCAAUCCUAGGAGAACCGAAGGUUAUGUCAGACGGCAGGACUGCCUCAGUGCCGUAAACCAUGAAGUAGGGUGACACUCCCGUGUUCCGACUGGUCUGAGUUCGUAGGCCCCAGACCACAGCCGGUAACUCUUUCAUCCAUCGACCGGGCGCUCUGUCGUUCUCGGUGUACAACCUUUUCUUGAGGGCGUCAAUGAUCAUUCCGUUCGCGUGCUCGACCUGACCAUUUGCCCGUGGGUGAGCUACUGACACGUAUUUUAUGACUAUGCUCCUGUCAUCGCAGAAGUCCCAAAAUGUGGUUCUAGUAAACUGAGUACCCAGAUCGGUGAUUAUACUGUUUGGGAUCCCGAAUCUGUGUAUAAUUUGAUUGAGGAAUUCCACAGCCUUCUCAGAGGUUGCUUUAACCAGUGGCAUGUUGUCGGUGUUUUCCCCCGGGGGGUCACACCAACGAGUAAAUUUGUAUGCGUGCUCCCUUUCCCGGAUGGUGAUGCAAGAAGACACAGAGAUUUAUCCUGGUUCGGGCAAGAGAAGGCCCUACGUCCAGCGGGGGGAGAGAGUUUAUAUUAUCUUGCACCUAAGUCCUUGUACAGGGGCGAAUACAAGCGUGGUAUGAAGUGUGGAGCUCUACUACGUAUGAGCGUGGUCUUGUGUCGUCAUGCUGUUCUAUUCCUGAGUCCCUCCUUUUAUAGUUCCAAGGAAGGGCCUAGGGUACAUGUAUAGGCGUAGGAAUUGGAGUCGAUAGCAGCAUGGAGCGCUGACCUACUCGAGGUUUCCGUACCGGCAUGCCCUCGAGCCGUCCCGUCUUAAUAGCCUGGUGAUGAUCACGCGUGCCCCUGCAUUCUGCUCUGCGCGCCGUCUUGGAUUGGCUCGGCGGAUGCACGGUUACAUGGCUCGGCGGCAAAUCCGGCGGAACAGUUACGGCGUGGUCAGUCGACGCCCGACUCGUCUCCAGGAAGGAGCCUGGUGAAGUCGAGGGUCGGACGCCGUACGAGGUGUCGAUGUCUGGAGCGCUGACCUUGGGUGUCUCGAGGGGGUCCCGAUUAGACGUUCCAUCCUUGUUUCCCGCGUCCUGAGACGCCCUGGGUCGUUCGGUGGGAAGGCUGCAAAAAGAACGAUGGGACAGAAGCCUCCCGUGACCCGUGUGUUAGGUGGGGAAACGUCAGGUGCAUUAAAUGCCCUGGCUCUCGUGCGCGCGUCAGGCGGCGGACAGUGUCCUUGCGCUCGACGCCUCUCGGUUCGCUCGAACCCGCUUCCGUAUUCGACGGCAGUUGUCGCUCGAGCCCUGACCGAUUCGCUCGACGCUAUUUCCGUCUUCGAGGCUGCGACCGUCGAUGGCUGCGCGUGUGUACGGAUGGUCUCGUUGUACGCAUUGGUGAGGGUACCCCUUGUUGAUACCCUCGACAGUAGCCCCCGAGUCUUCAUUCGAGCACUGGCGCUUGAGUGGAGACUUUCGUUUUUACGGUCGAGCUUCCACGGGGGCGCGCGAGCGACCCCGCGGGGGUAGCCCCCGAGCCCUCGAGGGAGUAUUUAACUCCUUCGAGGGUUAUUUUACCAAAUUUGCAGAAACGCUGUCAACACCCGUGGUGGAAGGUUCUGUUCGGCUUUGCCUUGCGUGGAGGUUUCGACGUACUCUCGAUAGAGCGAGCGUCUUCCACCCCGGAUUGAGUUCCUAGCGGGUAGUCCAAGUGAGAACCUGUGCCCCUUUCGAGGGGGUCAGCUGUAGCCCAGAGGCGUCCUCAUAAAGCAGGGUCGACAUGGUCGGGGAUACCGGUUUCAUUCAAUAGAGUCCAGCGGCUCGAUGCCUCCCUUCGGGGGGAUUCCUCUCGACUGUCUCGACCCUACCUUAGACAUCGCCAGCGAGUCCUCGAGGCGGGCCUCGAUUUUCGACCACUCACUGGGGAUCCCUGACUCUUGGUGCUCGAGAUCGGCUGUCGAACCCUUUCGAUGGGCCAGCCAUCGACCUCUCGAGACUAUUGUGGGCGCAUACCUUGGCUUACGAAGUAAGGAAGCUGCCGUGCCGGUUCGUCUUUCUGCCCGUUGGGCGCACCUUUUGAGGUAAGUGACGUUGCGACACUGUAUCGACGGGGAAUUCGGAGCGUCCGGCCUGUGAGGAGAGAAAGGACGAUUAGGUGGCGCAUUCAAGGGAGGGAGUUACCUUAUUUCUCGGAUCUGUCCAUUGGCGGACUGCUGCCUAUAAAUACGUCGUGGCGUCGUCGCCGUUCCUCUCCCUUCCGCCUUCUCGCUUUUAUUCUCUCGUUGCCUUUGCUUUCUCGCCGUCUCACGCGCACACGCCUCCUCGAGCUGUGGUGAAUCCACCGUCCCUCCAGCCGAGAUGCCUGUAAGACUCAUCGCCGCCGACGACUGGCGCCCGUCGUCGAUGACGGAGCACCGGUUGUUAGAGCUUGAGAAAGAGGGACUGCUGCGCCGCCGUACCUCGCUAUCGUCGCCAGAGUGGAUCGCGCCGCCGGCGAGUCACAGGGGGCCUCAGCCGCCCGAGGGCUACGUGGUGUCGUUCGCCAAGUUCCACCGCCACGGUCUGGGUGCGCCCCCGAGCUGCUUCAUGCGGGCCCUCUGCUUCCAUUAUGGGGUGGAGCUCCAGCACUUCUCUCCGAACGCCAUCACCGUAGCGGUGGUCUUCGCCGCCGUGUGUGAGGGCUAUCUGGGGAUGAUGCCGCACUGGGAGCUGUGGCUCCACCUCUACAGGGGCGAGCUUUUCCAUGCCCCCACCGGAACUAUAGGCGUAAGGAAGCCCGUGCGAGCGGGAUGCCUCAAUCUGGUGCAGAAGACGGCGAAGACGGACAAGCCGCGGGAGUACAUCCCGGUAGGGUUAUCGACCAACCACGCCGGCUGGGACUCCCAGUGGUUUUACCUGCGGAACGAUGACAACCUCCUGCCUUCCUUCUCGGGCCGUCUGAUCAUGGAGCGUCCAGCGGACUGGACAUACGGCGUCGUCCAAGCUCAUCAAUCUCGGCUCGACCCCCUCCUCGAUGCCCUGAAGAAGCUUCGCCAGGAGGGUUUGACCGCCACCCUCGUCCUCUCGGCCGUCCAUCACCGGAGAGUUCUCCCUUUGAUGUCUCGACCGUUGAGGAUGGACGAGAUGGGCCCUGGCGUCUCAUCUCGGGACCUUGAGGCGUGUCGGAUGUCCAACGAGGCUCCGGCGGACGACGAAGUCGCGGCCCGAGUCAGGGCUGCAAUUGCCGGUGAUUUUCAGCCGGAGCACGUUAACGGCUUCCCCAUGAGACCAGACGCAGGCUCGAUCGAUCUGGUACGCUUUCUUCUUGCGCGCAGCCACGAUUCUGGGUUUCCUUUCUUACCUCUCUUUUUUCUAAGUCUACCUUUGUUUUGGCAGGGUCGGAUUGAUGUCCGGUCCUCGAGGCCUCCGGUAAAGGAGGACGAGGUCGAUCGCGAUAAACGGCGCCAAUCUGCCGAAAAGCUAAAGUCUGCCAAGGACUCGGCAAAGAAGGGGGAGAAGAAGAAGAACCUCGACCGCCAAGCAUUAGAGGCGCGUCGAGCCAAAUCCAGGCAGAGGGGGGAGCCUGAGGAAGAAUCCCCUAACGAUGAUGACGAUGACGACGAGGACAGCGACGACUCUGAGGGGAUGGCGUCGCGCCUCGAUCGGAUUCUCGAGGGCCCGCCUCGAGGUGACGUCGACGCCCCCCGGACGGAGGCGCCAGAGGAGGGUCCGAGCGGAUCCUGUCGCCCCCGGGCCGACACCCCUCCCGCGCCCAAGGCGGGCCAAGGCGCACCGCGCCCUCCCCCGGUGCCCAGGGAGAGCGUUCUGGCUAGGCCCCAGGCGUCGGGGCCACUAACUCGUGGUCGCGCCGCGGCCUCUGAGAAAAGAGAUGCCGGCCGUAGGAGCGCCAGUCCCGGCGCCCGCCAGGCGGGGACCGACGCGCCUAGGCCAGUGCCUGCCCUCGAGGGGCCUGGAGCCCUGACGCGGGGUGGCUCGAGGCCCACUGGACGGGGUGGCGGGAGGCGAGCCGUUCUCCCUGUGGGGUAAGCCUUUUUGAUGUUGCGGUUUUUGUCUUCCCAUUCUUCCACCUUUCCUCAUAUGCCAACCUUUUCUCAGGCUGAAGCGGACCCUUGAGCAGGCCCAACCAUCCAUGGCAAAGAGGCUCAAAACGGGUGCCGCCUCCAAGGAACCAGGUUCGUAGUUUAUUUCUGGGCGUUGCGAUGUUCUUGUGUCGGUUAUCAUAACGUCUGACCCUUACCCUUCGUUUCGUAGGCUCCUCCAGCUCCCAACCUCCAACCGGCGUCGAGAAGGCUCCGUCUCGUCCCGCGCCUACUCCGUUGCCGCCGACUCAUGAUGAGGUGCCCCAGACGCAAGCCUCCGAGGGAGCCCCCGAGCCCCCUCGUUUGGGGGUCGAGGGGGAACCCAUCACCAUCAGCAAUACGUCCGAUGGUAACGAAGCAUCUGGGGGCGCUCGCCCUAUGGAGGAGGAAGCGUCGACCCCUAACGUCGCGGGAUCGACUCCCUGGCCCGCCGGCCUCCGCGCCCUCGAGGAGCAGAAAAAGAAGAGGGAGGAGAAUGAACAGCGGGAGCGCGAGGCGGCGCGGCAGCCACAGGAGCAUGAGGCACAGCAACAGCAGCAACAACAACAGCGGCAGCAGCAACAGCAACAACCGCAGCAGCAACCGCAGCAGCAGCAGCAGCAACCACCGCCGCAGCAACAGCAGCAGCAGCAGCAGGCGGGCCAAGAGGAGGCACCGCUCGAGCCUCCGCCCCAAGGUCCGGCCCAGCCAGUGCCACCGGAGCCGCAAGAGCUCGGCGAGGAGGAGGACCUGCCAGUGUACGGCCCCCCAACCCCGGCGUGGCUCCUCCCGGGGGCACCUGCCGCGAUCCGGGCAGAGCCGGGGCGAGCGGAUGGAGUGGUGGCGCUCGCCUGCCUGAAGCGCACGCCCCCCGACCCCGAGUCCGAUAUCAAGAGGACAAUUUACGGCAUGGACGGGAUCGCCCCAGGGUUCCUCUGGGAACGUCGGGCGUGGGAGGACCGCUUCCCUUCCGAGGAGGAUGAAAUUGGGGCAUCGGGGACCAAGGACGGAACCUGGAAGACGGUGGACGACGACGAGCGGUUCCCAUGCCUCGUCGACCUGUUCCUGCGCCAUGGGGGCUCCCUCGAGACCGUCGAGGGCCUCAUCCGCGGUGUUAAGGCGCGGGCUGACCGGGAGAUGGAGCACUGGUGCCCCGACCGCAUCCGUAUCCGGGCCUCCCACGACCCGUCUGAGCCCGACAUCUUCCUCGACGAUCGGAAGGAGGCGGAGAAGUGGGAACACGUCGAGGAGCUCCGCCUUUGGAUGAAGCAUGUGGUGGGGCUCCUCUCGGACGUUAUCAACAACGGGCUCGGCCCGGCUUAUUUCGUAAGUGUUUCUCGAACUCCAAUCCUCACGGUGCUUUCUGGUUUCUGUAUUCUAAUCCAUCCGACCCUUGAUUCGCAGGAUAUGAAAGAGACCUCCCGCAUCAAGUCCAGCUUCAUACACGCCACGAGGGGCGGUUGGGAGCAGCUCCCCCUCCUCAAGGAUCAACUCCUCGAGUCGCAGGAAAAGCUCCUUAAAGCUUACAAAGAUCUCAUCACACUCGAGGAGGAGAAGAAGGCGAGGGAGGCUGCUUUGGCCGAGGCCCGAGAGGCCUCGAAGAAGGCGGAGGAGGAGACGAUGCAGCUACGGGAGCGGGCUCUUACGGUCGAGGAGGCCGCGUCCAGAGCCCGGGAGGAGGCCCUGUCCUACAAGAGCGUUAUCGCGGAUCUGGACAAGGAGAAGGGCCUCCUUAAAUCCGACCUGGACUCUCUCCGAGAGUCCUCCUGAAAGAUGAAGGUGGAGCAUGUGAACGGCGAGGUCGCCAGGGGCGCCGCGGAGGAAGCCAAGAAGAAGGCCCUCGAAGAUCUCGAGGCGGAGUGGGCUCGAUCCUGCAGUCUCUCUAACGACGUCGAGCGUCUGAAGGGAGAACUGCUGGAGAAGAGUGGGGCCAUCGCUCAGGCUGGCAAGGCGAUCGAGGAUCUCCGCGUUGCCAACACCGAGCUGGCACGCUCCAACAAAGAGAUCGAGGGGGCCAACACUAGGCUGGUCGGCGAGAACACGGCCCUCGAGGAGACCGUACGCGGUAUGUUUCCUCUAUCAGAUUUCUUUUUCCGCGGUGUGCUUAGUUUUUCCUAAGGUCUCUUUAUAUUGGCUUUUACAGGGCUCAAGGACGAACUCCUGGCCGCCCAAGCCGAGGCUCGCAACGCCAAGGCUCAGCUCGAGGCGGAGGUUGCUUUGAACCGUCGAGUGCGGACGGCGAUAAGCGAUCUCUCGACCUCUUGGGAGGUCGAGCCUAUGGACGAGUCGAGGGAGGACGCUCGAGGCGACGCCCUAGUCGACCAGUUGUGCUACAUAGGCGCGACGCUGCGAGAUCGGGUGCGGGACGCUCUCCACAUCGGGGUGAAGCGGGCGAUGGCGGUUGUCUGCUCGGGCUUCUCCUACGACAUGGAGGUGGUGUCCCAUGGCUUCGUCACCGACAUCUCUAAGACCGACGCGGAGAACGAGGAGAGGCUCCAUGCCUUGAUCGACGACGCGGAGGCUCCUGGGGAAAGGUUGGCCAAGCUUUUCGAGCCUGAGGUGCUCCCUCCUGAAGCUAGCUCGGGCGGAGGCGAGGGCGGUGAGGAUCGUGCCGCGGACUGAGGCCUGCGAGCCUGCUCAGGGCGCCUGAGGCCCCUUGUACGAUACUUCGUUAGUUCUGUGGGUAACUGAUGCUGUAUCACUUUCGUAAUUGUUAAAUGCUUAUUUUGUCUUUCCGCUUGAUGCUUUCAUUUCUCUUUGCGCCUACGUUUGUAUCCCUUGCUCGAUUUUUCGUGAAAGACCACCUCGAUCACUUCAAUGGUGGGGAAGUGAGUAGAGUUUCCGUAGCCCGGGGGCGUAGGAGUUCUCCAGCUCAUUGUCCCUCGGCCUUUGAGGGGCUCGAGGCGCCUUAGCUACUUGAACCGUGCAAGGUUUACUACGUAAGAAAAGAAAACUUCUUGUUUUUUUGAUACUCGGGGGGGGGUCGUCCCCCUGGUAGCCCCCGAGGGGGUGCUGACUAUGAUGGGUCAUAGUCGGCGCCCCCUUUUAACGUCGAGAUCGUGACUUAUUAAUCUUCUCGACACAAAGAAAGAAGAAUUGCUUCGAGGGAAGGACUUUAUUUAUUCAUUCAUUCGUUUACAGAGUCUCGAUACAGGACGUAAACAGGAACAUAAGUUUAGAACUUCUAGGGGUAGAAUCGACGUAGCUGUUCGAUGUUCCAUGCGUUGGCGAGAAUUGCCCCCUUUUCGUCCGCCAGCUUGUAUGUUCCCGGCUUCAGGACCUCGGCUACCACGUACGGACCUUCCCAAGGCGGAGUCAGCUUGUGGCGUCCCUGAUUGCUUUGCCGGCGUCGUAGGACUAGGUCGCCCACGUUGAGGUCCCUCUUGCACACAUGCUUGUCGUGGUAGCGUCGAAGCCUUUGCUGAUAUCUGGCAGAGUUGAGGAGGGCCAUGUCUCUAGCCUCCUCAAGUUGGUCGACCGCGUUUUCUUGAGUCUCUUUGUUCGAUUGCUCGUUGUAGGCCUUGAGUCGAGGUGACCCAUACUCGAGGUCUGUGGGGAGGAUAGCCUCAGAGCCGUAGACCAUGAAGAACGGGGUGUAUUUUGUGGCCCUGCUUGGUGUUGUCCUAAGGCUCCAUAGGACUGAGGAAAGCUCCUCGACCCAUUUUUUGCCGAAUUUCUUCAAUCGAUUGUAGAUCCUUGGCUUGAGUCCUUGCAGAAUCAUGCCGUUGGCACGCUUGACUUGGCCGUUAGUUCGAGGGUGGGCUACUGCAGACCAGUUCACACGGAUGUGAUGCCGAUCGCAGAAGUCCAAGAACUUUUUGCCUGUGAACUGGGUGCCGUUGUCGGUGAUGAUGACAUUGGGGAUCCCAAACCGAUGGAUGAUGUUGGUGAAGAAAAGGACGGCCUGCUCGGAGCGGAUGUUGGUGAUGGGUCGAGCCUCGAUCCAUUUGGAGAACUUGUCAAUGGCCACUAGCAAAUGGGUGAAUCCCCCUUUCGCCUUUUGUAGAGGUCCUACUAAAUCGAGCCCCCACACCGCAAAAGGCCAGGUAAUGGGGAUCAUCUAAAGAGCGUGGGCAGGCAGAUGCGUCUGCUUGGCGUAGAACUGACACCCGUGACAUGAUCGUACGAGCUCGAUGGCGUCCGCCACGGCCGUUGGCCAGUAGAAGCCUUGUCGAAAAGCGCUCCCUACAAGGGUCCGUGGAGCGGCGUGGUGACCGCAAGCCCCCGAGUGUAGGUCAUCGAGGAGUUUUCGGCCUUCUUCCACGGUGAUGCAACGUUGUAAGACCCCCGUCGGGCUCCGUCGAUAUAGCUCGUUGUCUUCGCCAUAUAUCACAUAUGAUUUAGCCCGUCGAGCGAUACGACGAGCUUCUGACCUGUCUUCUGGCAACUCGCCGCGGAUAAGGCAGUCGAGGAACGGUGUGCGCCAAUCGAAUGGUCGACCUGGUCGUCGUUCUAUCUCCAUCCUCUCCUCCACCAUCAAGAGCUGGUCGGACUCCUUCAUUUUUAUUUGGUGGUAACCAGAAUAUGCAUCAAGGAAAGAAAGGGUUUCACAUCCCGUGGUAGAAUCGACAAUCUGAUCAAUGCGUGGCAAUGGAAAGGGAACUUUUGGACAUGCUUUAUUCAGACUAGUAUAAUCGACACACAUCCUCAUUUUCCCAUUCUUUUUCUUAACUAAUACAGGGUUUGCUAACCAGUCAGGAUGAUGAACCUCCUUGAUGAAUCCGGCCGUCAAAAGCUUGUGGACUUCCUCGCCAAUGAUCUUGCGCUUCUCCUCGUCGAAUCGGCACAACCGCUGCUUCACUGGCUUGGAACCGGCUCGAAUCUCCAAGGAGUGCUCGGCGACUUCCCUCGGUAUGCCUGGCAUGUCCGAGGGACUCCAUGCAAACAUGUCGGCAUUUGCACGGAGAAAGUCGACGAGCACAGCUUCCUAUUUGGGGUCGAGGUCGGUGCUGAUCGUCAGCACUUUGCCGUCGGAGUUGUUGGGGUCGAGCGGGAUCUUCUUGGUUCCUUCCGCCGCCUCGAAGCUGCCCGCGUGGCGCUUAGGCUCUGGAGCCUCAGCGGCCAGGGCCUCGAGCUUCGCGACGAGCUUGGUGGAGUUCUCGACCGCCUCCCCGUACUCGACGCACUCGACGUCGCACUCGUACGCGUGCUCGAAGGAGGAACUGACAGUGAUGACGCCUUUGGGACCGGGCAUCUUCAGCUUCAAGUAGGUGUAGUUGGGUAUAGCCAUGAACUUGGCGUAGCCCGGGCGCCCGAUGAUGGCGUGGUACGUGCCUCGAAACCCAACCACCUUGAAGGUGAGGGUCUCCUUCCUGAAGUUGGCCGUUGUGCCGAAGCAGACCGGUAGGUCAAUUCGACCUACUGGCAGUGCCUUUUUCCCUGGCACGACGCCAUGGAAACCGCCGGCGCUUGGCUGGAGGCGUCCUCUAUCGAUGCCGAGGAGGUCGAGGGUCUCGAGGUAGAUGAUGUUGUGGCUGCUGCCACCAUCCAUCAGCACUUUCGAGAGUCGGGUGUUGACGAUGAUGGGGUCGACGACGAGCGGGUAGACGCCUGGGGCGACUACCUUGUCGGGGUGGUCCUCCCGGUCGAAAGUGAUAGGAGUGCUUGACCAGCUAAGGUACUGGGGCACCGCCAUUCUUGCCGCAAAGACUUCGCGAUGCUCCCUUUUGCGUUGCCUCAUGGUUAAUUGAGUCGAGGGCCCGCCAUAGAUCAUGUAGCAGUCGUGGACGGCGGGGAAGCCGUCAUCAUCUUUGUUGUCCUCCUUGCUGCCAGCCUUCUCUUUCUUGGAGUCAUCACGCGUAUCUUUUUUGAACCCCGGACCGUCGAAAUGCCUUCUCAGCAUGCGACAGUCCUUGAGCUUGUCGUUGGCGCCUCCCUUAUGGUAAGGGCACGGCUCCUCCAACAUCUUGUCGAAGAUGCCUCCAUCCGGAGGGCCUCGAGGCUUCUUUCGAUCCAUGGCGGCGACAAAGUUGUCAUCGGAAUCUUCCCGGUGGAACUGCCGCACUUUCUGCUUCUUUUUAUUUUUCUUCAGGCCUCGACUGGGGGUCCCAUCUUCGUCGACGGGCUGCUUGCCUUUUCUUCCUUCUGAGCUGAAGAAGGCGCCGACUGCCUCCUCCCCUGCCGCGUAGUUGGCUACUACGUCCAUCAGCUCGUCGACGGUCUGAGGUCGAUUGCGACCUAAUUCCCGCACCAAGUCUCGACUGGUGGUGCCCGAGACAAACGCCAAGAUGACGUCGUGGUCAGGGAUGUGCGGCAGCUCAGUGCGCUGCUUCGAGAAGCGUCGAGCAUACUCCCGAAGAGUUUCUCCUGACUUAUGCUUGCACUUGCUGAGGUCCCACGAGUUCCCUGGCCGUAUGUAGGUCCCUUUGAAGUUACCCUCGAAGACUCUGACCAGAUCAACCCAGUUGUGGAUCUAAUUGGCAGGGAGUUCCUCGAGCCAUCGACGGGCGGUGUCGGAGAGGAAAAGGGGUAGUUGUUUGAUGAUGGCUCGAUCAUCACCUCGAGCGCCACCUAGCUGACAGGCCAGCCUGAAGUCGGCCAGCCACAACUCUGGUUUGGUCUCUCCAUUGUACUUCGCGAUGCUGGUCGGGGGUCGAAAUGGAUUGGGCAGGGGCGUGCUGCGGAUCGCCCUGCUGAACACCCGUGGGCCUGGUGGCUCGGGGGCCACCCGGUCCUCGUCGCUGUCGUAGCUCCCACCGCGAUGCGCGCUAUAACCGCGCUCUUCCGCGUCUCCGUGCCGGCGGCGUCAAUUUUCUUUGAUGUCGUGCCGCGCGUCGUGUCGACGUUGAUUGUCGACGGGGAGGAUGAGAGCGGUCUUUCUACCUCGAGGGGGAGGUUGUUGAUGGACUGACACCUCCUCUUCGUUUAGAGGCUGUUCGUCGCGCCUCUCUGUGGCCGCUCCUCGUCGUCGAGACGCCGAACUUUCGGCUUGUUGAACCGCCGCCACCUGGAGCAAUGUCUGUACCUCAUCUCGAAUGUGUCGGGCCAGGGAAUUCGACGGCUGUGGCAUGUUACGUAGCAGCAUGGUCGCUGCCACUACAUUCUGGCCUGCUCGAGGGAAACGGCUGACAGGUGGCUCUGGCUCUGCGUCGCCGACGAUCUGUUGAUGUACCUCUCGAGCGCGUCUGCGGACACUUCCGCCCGGCGGGUAGGGCAGGUCUUGCUCGAGGAUUUGCUCGAGCAGGACGAGGCGUUCGCGGUCUUCGUCGAGCUUCAUCUUGAGCUCCCGCAGUUGCGCGAGCUGCGCGGUUCUGUCUUCCUGAGGGGGGGGUCGACCUGUCCGUCGUUCCCAGGCGUCCUGGGGUCUUCUCGCGCCGCGGGGGCUCGACCAGCCGCAGCAGCAUCCCGUGUCUCGUCAGUAGUUUCUACCGCCCCGUCGAUGUGACAGCAUUCCCUCAUAGGGUCAUAGCUAUCUGUCUCGGAGUCGGAGUCCGGUUCGGCAGCGUAGAAACACCCACGUCCUUCCUCCAGCAAUCGUUGCCUGAGGGAGGUGAUCGAGUAUCGUCCGGGGCCUAGACGACGGAGGCCUCGUACUCGGGAAAGGUCCGGCAGCUCGGACGCCGGCCGCCGCGCUUCAGAGCAACGUGGGAGGACCAUUGGUCUUUCUACGUGCGUCUGGGCGUUUGGGCAUAUCGCCCUGGCGAGCGACGCCGCGGCGUUGUCCAAUCCGAACGGCAGUGCCGCUCUUGGAGAGAACAACCCGUGUGGAAGUAGCCUAGCUGCGGUGGGGGAGAGCGCGCGAGACGCGUCCCCUCCUGUCGUCGCGCGGUGUUGAAUCGUUGCGCUUGUUGCUCCGUCACACGGUGCUGCCGACUUGUGGCCUACGUCCUGCCUCGCACGAGUUGUUGGUCGUGCUGAAGCAGAGGGGCCGCGGUGGUGCUGUCCGCGCCUCUUCUUAGGCGGGGAGGCGUGGUGGUGAGGGCGUCUCGGGGCCCUCAACCGUGCUGGCGUAACGCGGGCUCCUCCUGGUCCUUUGACUGAGAGCAAGAUCAUGUCGUAGCCGGAGCGCGUAGACAUGAACUCAAGACUCCCAAACCAAAUCACCGUGGAGUGCGGAAACGGCGAGGCAAGAGUAGCCAUCCGGAAAGGAGUGGGAAAUCGAUGAAAUACACGCAGGACCCCUACCUGGCGCGCCAACUGUCGGUGUUUUCCCCCCGGGGGGCCACACCAACGAGUAAAUUUGUAUGCGUGCUCCCUUUCCCGGAUGGUGAUGCAAGAAGACACAGAGAUUUAUCCUGGUUCGGGCAAGAGAAGGCCCUACGUCCAGCGGGGGGAGAGAGUUUAUAUUAUCUUGCACCUAAGUCCUUGUACAGGGGCGAAUACAAGCGUGGUAUGAAGUGUGGAGCUCUACUACGUAUGAGCGUGGUCUUGUGUCGUCAUGCUGUUCUAUUCCUGAGUCCCUCCUUUUAUAGUUCCAAGGAAGGGCCUAGGGUACAUGUAUAGGCGUAGGAAUUGGAGUCGAUAGCAGCAUGGAGCGCUGACCUACUCGAGGUUUCCGUACCGGCAUGCCCUCGAGCCGUCCCGUCUUAAUAGCCUGGUGAUGAUCACGCGUGCCCCUGCAUUCUGCUCUGCGCGCCAUCUUGGAUUGGCUCGGCGGAUGCACGCUUACAUGGCUCGGCGGCAAAUCCGGCGGAACAGUUACGGCGUGGUCAGUCGACGCCCGACUCGUCUCCAGGAAGGAGCCUGGUGAAGUCGAGGGUCGGACGCCGUACGAGGUGUCGAUGUCUGGAGCGCUGACCUUGGGUGUCUCGAGGGGGUCCCGAUUAGACGUUCCAUCCUUGUUUCCCGCGUCCUGAGACGCCCUGGGUCGUUCGGUGGGAAGGCUGCAAAAAGAACGAUGGGACAGAAGCCUCCCGUGACCCGUGUGUUAGGUGGGGAAACGUCAGGUGCAUUAAAUGCCCUGGCUCUCGUGCGCGCGUCAGGCGGCGGACAGUGUCCUUGCGCUCGACGCCUCUCGGUUCGCUCGAACCCGCUUCCGUAUUCGACGGCAGUUGUCGCUCGAGCCCUGACCGAUUCGCUCGACGCUAUUUCCGUCUUCGAGGCUGCGACCGUCGAUGGCUGCACGUGUGUACGGAUGGUCUCGUUGUACGCAUUGGUGAGGGUACCCCUUGUUGAUACCCUCGACACAUGUAUUCGAUCCAUUUUGAGAACUUGUCGAUUAAUACGAAAACGAACUUGAAGUUGCCAGGGGCCGGUUUAAAUGGCCCGAUCAUGUCAAGUCCCCAGCAGACGAAAGGCCAGGAUGACGGGAUAGUUUGAAUCUCGUGAGCAGGUACGUGGGUCCUUUUAGCGAAGAACUGACAUCCCUCACAGUGUCGGACCAGUUUUUCUGCAUCGCUGACCGCGUUUGGCCAAUAAAAACCUGCUCGGAAAGCUUUCCCGACCAGCGUUCUGGAUGCAGCGUCGUUGCCGCAGGAUCCAGCAUGUAUGUCCUCUAGGAGUUUGAUGCCAUCAUCUUGGGAUAUGCAUUUGAGCAGCACUUCAGAACUUGCAUUUUUCCGCAUAAGCUUGCCGUCGACCAGUAUGUAAUUUUUUGAUCGUCGAAUGAGGCGCUCGUUCUCUGUUUUGUCCUGAAAGCCUGACCCGUCCGAUAUAUAUUUGAUGAACGUAGUGCGCCAAUCACGGCCACUGGUUGUUGAGGUGGCAUCGUCUAUGGGCAUUGUUUCCGUAGGUUGCUUUUCGACCAGGCCGGAGCCCACGCUUGGCUCAUGGAUGUCCUGGACGAAAACACCCCGCGAGAUCGGGGCCCGAGAUGACCCUAACUUUGAUAACGCAUCUGCUGCUUCGUUCUUAUCCCGGACCACAUGGAUGUAUUCUAUGUCGUAGAAGUUGGUCUCCCACUUGCGAAUUUCCUUGCAAUAGAGAUCCAUCUUUUCGUGGGUCGCGUCCCAUUCUUUGUUGAGCUGGCUGAUAACCAAAGCAGAGUCGCCAUAGACAUAGAGGCGUUUGACUCCCAACUUGUCGACGAAAGCUGGUCGGCAGUCUACCUUGCGGUAUACCCACGGUAGUAGUUUAUCGGUAGACGGUGCACAAACUACGAACUCGAUGGUGACGCAAGACACGGACAAGCAUUUUAUCCAGGUUCGGCCACCGAGUUGGAGUAAUACCUACGUCCUGCGUUUGGUUGUAUUGAUUUGUGUUGAGAGAAUAACUUGCCCUAGGGGGUCCCUUGCCCCUCCUUAUAUAGUCCGGAGGGCAGGGUUACAGAUCUGGAAACUAAUCCUAGUCGGUUACAAUUGCCAUAGAUAGUUCGACAUCAAUCCCUAUUCUAACCGACUAGAAUCUUGCUUGAUCUCCACGUCUUGUUUCCUUGCGCGAAACUCCAAGCUGUCGGAUCAAGCCUUGAGCUUGUCUCGUAAUGGGCCAAGCCUCCUGGCCCAGGUCUAGCCGUAAGGGUAUAGGGGUUUAUCCCCCCACAGCUAGUCCCCGAGCACCAUGUAUUGUGAUGUAACACACCGUCUUGAGCUUCUUCGAUCAGUGAGGCUUGACGUCUUCAAUAAGUAGGAAAAUCGCCCAAACAGUUGCAACGGUAUUUUGACCAACUCAAAAGACAGUUGAUCAACAUUGACAUCGAAGAAGCAGGUUGUUCGAAGAAUGCAUGGUGCUCUUAAUUAAAAAAGAUUUCUUUCCUGGUGAAGUGUGCCCACUUUACUUUUUUGAAAAGUAUAGUCCUCAAAAAAGCAAGCAUAUUCACCGCAAGGUGAAGUGUGCCCACUUAGUCCCCGAGCCUGGUAGUAGGUGACGUAGACACGUGGUGCCAGGGUCAAAAGAGAAUUCCCCAAAGUAGUUUUGAAACUGGGAUGCAUCGCCAGAUGCAUCGUACCGAUGUAGUCCCCGAGCUUGCUGGAAGGCGAAGUAUGAGCCUUGUAGCAAGGUCUAAAAAAUUAAAAUUCACCAGUCCCCGAGUGUCUCAUGCUCGAUUACCAUCGAAUAGACUUAUCAAUUUAACCAGUCCCCGGGUGUACAAUGCUCGGAGAUCGAUACAGCCUGCUGAUUACCGAACGUACACACUAAGCGACUAGCCCCGGAGCAUCCAGCGCUCGUUGAUCGGUGCAGUCCGAACAAAUUUAACGACCAGUCCCCGAGCGUCAAGUGCUCGGUGGUCGGUGCAUUCCUGGAACUUCCGAGUUGAUAGACUGUGCGACCAGUCCCCGAGCUUCAAGUGCUCUGUGGUCGGUGUUGUCCUUGAAGGUCCAAGUUGAUAGUCUGUGCGACCAGUCCCUGAGCAUCAAGUGCUCGGUGGUCGGUGCAGUCCUCGGAUUGUUGACUCUCUAUUAUUUUUGUCUGCUUGUUUUUGAAAAAUUUCACCACAUAAAAGUUGACGUGACGAGACCACCUGACGGGAUGUCAGAUGGCUGCAUGAAAAGUUGAGCCUGGCAACUGUGCAGCCGCUCUUUGCGGGAAGUGAGAAAAGGAAACCAUUAAUUUGUACGAAAACUCCGCCGCAUUAAUUGUCGAUAAUCAUUGAAAACCGAAACGCCGCGUCACCGUUGGGCCCGCCCACUUCCCAAGAAUGCAGGAAGUGGGAGGGGUGGAGUUGCGUUUUAUAAAAUCCUGGCAUUAACCUCGCAUUGCUUACUCUGCCAUUGCCUUCAAGCUUUCCGCUCUCGCCUUCUGCAACCUCCUGCACCCUCCUAACUCGAAACCACUCCCGCAUCUCCAAUGGCGAAAAGCGAUUCCAAGAAAAGGGCUGAGCUAAUGGCCAAGGAAUGGAAGAAAUCCCGCAGCACCGCAAAAUCCCUCGGUGACCUCGUCGACAUGGGGCUACUGCACAGCCUGGAGCUCGGCGGCUGGAGGGCGCCGGAAGGGGAGAGCUACCCCGACCCCCGCGCCGGUGAGAUUGUAGUUUUUGAAGAUUUCAUUAAGAGGGGUUUUGGGGUUCCUGUUCAUCCUUUUCUUCAGGGUCUUCUUUUGUAUUAUGAGAUCGGGAUUUGCAAUCUGCACCCGAACUCAAUUCUUCUCAUCUCCACUUUUAUCCAUCUGUGCGAGGCCUAUGUUGGCAUAGAGCCGCACUUCGAUCUCUUUCGUUAUCUUUUCUGUCUAAGGAAGAAGGGAGCAGUUGGAGGCUCCAAGAUUGCAGGUGGAGUAUACCUCAAUCUCCGGGACGGGAUGAAGAACCGGUACCUGAGAUGUCUGUGGAACACCUCUCUUACCGAAUGGUAUAGGAAGUGGUUCUAUGUCAGGGAGGAGCUGAGCAGCUCCACGUUCUGUGACGUGGGGUACAUCCCCGAGAAGAGGGUCAGUUGGACCGACCGCCCGGGCUUCGACGGCCAAGUAGCGGACCUGCUGAAGCUGAUCGACUGGUCGCGCUUGGACGGGCUAGGAGUGGUCGGCAACUUUGUUUGCGCCGGGUGAUGCCCUGCCAGAAGAGGGUGCACUCGGCGUAUGAGUACGCCGGAAGCCAGGACCCGACCAGGAUGAGGCCUGAGGUCCUGGACAAGGAAGAGGUGCAGCAAUUAUUGAACGAGCUGUUCAACUUUGCUGACGGGAGCUUCAUCCGUGGUAGUGAUCGGGUGCAGGCUUCAAGCUGGGACGACCAGCCCCUAAGGUAAUGUCCUUUACUGACUGUGUCUCCUUAGCGUUCGUUAUUUUGUCGGAUGCUGACUUGUCUGUGUUACUUUUUGCAGAUCGGAGAUGUUGACAGGUGCACAGUGUAUGUGUCACUGGCCCCUAGGAUGGAGGACCCCGCAGGGGAGGAUCCGCCGGUGGAAGACGCUGCACGGUGUGAUCGGUACACCAGUAGUGAAGAGGACCAGGCCCUCCCCGUCCCGACCACCGAAGAGAGAGUGGCGGGGAAGAGGCCGCUGGCAACAGAUCCUUCGCCUGCACCGACGCUGCCGGCAGAGAGCAGUCAAGCGCCAAAGUGCCGUCGGCUCGUCCGGAUCACUGAUGACGACGACGAAGAGGAGGAGGCCGCACCGUCGCUGGUCCGGAGGCCUCGUAGCCGUCCGGACAGUGUGCCGACCACUGCUGAUCGAGUGGCCAGCGACCCUCCUGUGCCGCGCGUCGCAGAGACGGGGGCUCAGGCGCCGACCGGCCGGGCUAGGAGGAGGUUCACUGCGACCCACCGUCGAUCAGACCUGUAAGUGUUCGACUUACGCACUUUGGUGUUUUUUUUAAGAUAAUACUUUGUUCUUUUAGCGCAGCGUCGGAUGUCAACCCCGACCACGCCACCGGCCAAGGGGCGCCCGAGCCUGCCACCGUUGACGCCGCGCCGCAGGCCACAGAUCAGCCUACGGCGGCAACUGCUGCUACAGGCGCUGAGGGGCAGUCUGCCCCGGCGAGUGCUGCAGCGGGUACUCCGCCGAGGAACGAGGAGGCUUCAAGGACCCCUCCCCCGAGCUCUGCUGCUGAGGAGGAAGGCCGAAUCCCGACUCCAGCCGAAGAAGGGAGGGUCCCGACACCGCCCCGAGCAGGGGCUUCUUCACCCGUGAGCCCCGCUGGCCUAGGCGGGGGGCCCAUGAUGCCUUCGACCGCCGCCGGAGGCAGCGCGGCGAAUGAGGAGCCCCAGGAGGCCUCUGACGACGACGUGGAGGAGGUCCAGGGUCGUCCCCGUGAUGGCCGCCAGCACGUCUACGUGUGGCGCCAACGCGGGGACCACUUUAUUGGACAUGAAGAGCUCGCAGAGACGGAGGAGGCCGCGAUGGUGGAGCGUGCGGCCAAACGUCUUGUAGAUGAAGUCAAGGUAAGCGAUUCUUUGCACUGCUCGACUACUUCCCCUUUUUUUUAUUAUCUUGCUGGGUUGACAUGCAACCCUCUUGCAGGGCGCCAUGAAAACGGUGAAGUACCGGAAGAGGUGCUUCGACCAGAUAGAAGGAAUUGUGGCCGAGGACAAGGCCCUGACCGCGGAGGUGGACCGGCUGCGGUCGGAGGUCGGGGAGAAGGUGGCCGAGAUGAACGCCCAGGAGGAGCGUCGUCUCGAGCUCACUCAUCGCUUGGCCGACCAAUAUCGGCAGCGGUCAGGUCAGUUAGGUGCUUCGAGCAGCUGUGAGUGGCUGCGUAGUUUGCUUUUCUGACCAGGUUAUGGUUCACGUAGGCUUGGAGGAGGAGGUGGCGCGCCUCCGACAGGAGAAAGAGCAGCUCAGCCAAGAGCUUGCCGGGGCGCUGGAGGCCGGACGCCGAGCAGGGGAGGAGCUGAGCCGAAAGGACCGGGAGUUGUCUGGUAAUUCGCGCCGCCCCGUUAUCUGCCGCUUAUCGCUCGUUUUGAUAUGUUGAAAAUAACAUCUUGCUCGAUUUGCAGUGCUCAAGGUGAACGCCAAAAAUCACCUCGACGAGCUGGUCAAGGACAGGGACUCCUAGAAGGUCAAUUGUUGUAAGAUCUGGAAAGGAGUAUCCCCGGUCCUGGACUUGAUCAGCCCCGAGCUCCCGGAGAGCCAGCCCCGCGCGCCGAAAUUGACCCCAGUUGAAAAGGCACAACGGGCAUGGGACUGGCUUCAGCAAUUCGUGAAGGACGCCGGGGAGUUUGCUGGCACGCAUAUCCUUAGCAUGGUGCGCGCCCACUACCCCCUGGUUGACUUGACCAGGCUGGAGAAGGGGUAUCCCAAGGAAGUCGGCCCGCAGGAGGCGGAUGAGCUUCGGGGUGGUCUGCUGGACUUGUCGUCGUCGGUCAUCGGUGACAUCAAUCUAUGCGGGACGGCCACUCCCCCCGACCAGCCGGGUUCAGACAGAUCGGCCAGCGAGCUGUCGGGCGCGUCUGUUGCGGGAGAUGGGCGGUCGACGCCUGCGGUCUCGACCAGCCAGGCGCCGGUGGCCCCGACCCCUUCGUCCGGGCAGCAAGGCCAGGCGGGUGAUCAGCCCGAGCAGUAGGCCAUUAGGGUAGUCUGUAGGAGUAGACUAGUGUCUGCCCGUCAGGGUAUUUAUUGUAAACUUUGUAUGUAAAGUUUGUAAUAAAGUUUGCUUUUGUCAUGACUAUUAUUUUGAGCGCUGUACAAUUAUCUGAGUGACGUGCCACUGUAUUUGAUUUUGUAGUUGCUAAGAUUUUUCCGCCGCAGAGGACUUUUCGAGUUCUGCGUGUAACAAAGUGUAGGCAAAAAAGAAAAACUUUAAUUAUUGAUAGCUAUAAGACAUUUUCAAUCGAAAGUUACUAGAACUUAUGGAUAAAAUCGGCGCAGUCUGUCUAUGUGCCAAGGGUUAGGCACGCGUGUUCCGUCUGGAUACGCCAAUCUGUAGGAUGUGGGUCGAGUGACUUCGGCGACCACAAAGGGUCCUUCCCAGGGAGUGGAUAGCUUGUGCAUUCCUUCCUGGCUUGUUUUCCACCUGAGUACCAGAUCGCCGACCAUGAAGGAACGGUCUUUAACGUUCCUGUUGUGGUAUCGUCUGAUUGCCGCAAGAUACUUUGUUGUUCGAAGGCACGAAUUUAGACGUUUUUCUUCCAUGCAGUUGAUUUCGAGUUCCCUGGUGUUGUCGGCCGUUGACUGGUCAAAGUUUUCGAUCCUUGGAGAUCCAAAGGUUAUAUCAGGUGGCAGCACAGCCUCGGUGCCGUAGACCAUGAAGUAGGGUGACACCCCGGUGUUACGACUAGCCUGUGUUCGGAGACCCCAGACCACGCCUGGCAACUCUUUCAUCCAUCGACCAGGUGCUCUGUUAUUCUCGGUGUACAACCUUUUCUUCAGGGCGUCGAUGAUCAUUCCGUUUGCACGUUCUACUUGGCCAUUUGCCCGUGGGUGAGCUACUGACACGUAUUUUAUGACUAUGCCUCUGUCAUCGCAGAAAUCCCAAAAUGUGGUGCCAGUGAACUGAGUACCCAGGUCGGUGAUUAUACUGUUUGGGAUCCCGAAUCUGUGUAUGAUUUGAUUGAGGAACUCCACGGCCUUCUCGGAGGUUGCUUUGACCAGUGGCAUGUACUCGAUCCACUUUGAAAACUUGUCGAUUAACACGAAAACAAACUUGAAGUUGCCAGGGGCCGGUUUAAAUGGCCCGAUCAUGUCGAGCCCCCAACAGGCGAAAGGCCAGGACGACAGGAUAGUCUGGAUCUCUUGAGCGGGUACGUGGGUCCUUUUAGCGAAGAACUGACAUCCCUCACAAUGUCGGACCAGUUUUUCUGCGUCGUUGACCGCGGUUGGCCAAUAAAAACCUGCUCGGAAAGCUUUCCCGACCAGUGUUCUGGAGGCAGCAUGAUUGCCGCAGGAUCCGGCGUGUAUUUCGUCUAGGAGCUUGAUGCCAUCAUCCUGGGAUAUGCACUUGAGCAGCACUUCAGAACUUGCAUUUUUUCGCAUAAGUUUGCCGUGCACCAGUAUGUAAUUCUUUGAUCGUCGAAUGAGGCGCUCGUUCUCUGUUUUAUCCUGAAAGCCUGACCCGUCCGAUAUAUAUCUGAUGAAUGGGGUGCGCCAAUCGCGGUUGCUGGUUGUCGGAGUAACGUCAUCUAUGAGCAUUGCCUCAAUAUGCUGCUUUUCGGGCGGGUCAUUGCCCACACUUGGCUCAUGGAUGUCCUGGACGAAAACACCUCGCGGUAUCUGGGCCCGAGAUGACCCUAACUUUGACAACGCAUCUGCUGCUUGGUUCUUAUCCCGGACCACGUGGAUGUAUUCUAUGCCGUAGAAGUUGGUCUCCCACUUGCGAAUUUCUUUGCAGUAGAGGUCCAUCUUUUCGUGGGUCGCGUCCCAUUCUUUGUUGAGCUGGUUGAUGACCAAAGCAGAGUCGCCAUAGACGUAGAGUCGUUUGGCUCCCAACUCAACGGCUAGUCGGAUGCCGUGUAGGCAGGCUUCGUACUCGGCGACGUUGUUGGAUGCCGGAAAGAGGAUCCUAAGGACGUAACGCAGCUUGUCCUUGUUAGGCGACACAAAUAGUAUCCCAGAGCCGGCACCGUUGAUGUUCAAGGACCCGUCGAAAAACAUCGACCAGUGGUCGGAGACGUCGGGAACGGGAGUUUCGUUAAGGUCUGUCCAUUCUGCAAUGAAAUUGACCAGAGCCUGAGACUUGACUGUGGUGCGACUCUGGAAUUCCAGAGAGAACGGGCAUAACUCCAUUGCCCACUUUACAAUUCUGCCGUUUGCGUCUUUGUUGCGCAGAAUAUCCCCGAGAGGGAAACUGGUGGUUACCAAGACUCGAUGGCCGUCGAAGUAGUGCUUUAGCUUUCUCGAUGUUAUUAGAAUGGCGUAUAUGAGUUUCUGUAUUUGCGGAUAUCUGGCCUUGGAUUCGUUUAAGACUUCGCUUAUGAAAUAAACGGGUCGCUGGACCUUGUAAACAUGUCCUGGCUCAUCCCGCUCGACCACUAUUGCCGUGGAAACAACCCUGUCGGUUGCAGCAAUGAAAAGGAGUGGGUCUUCAUUGGGCGGAGGCGCUGUAAGAACAGGCGGUGAAGUGAGGAAAGUCUUAAGCUGGGUGAACGCAGCGUUGGCUUCCUCUGUCCAAGAAAAUUUUUCCGAUGCCUUCAAGAGUUUGAAGAAAGGGAGGCCUUUUUCUCCCAGUCUUGAGAUGAAGCGACUGAGUGCGGCCAUACAUCCGGUGAGCUUCUGAAUAUCCUUGACAUUUUUAGGUGGUCGCAUGUCGAGUACUGCUCUUACUUUUGAAGGAUUUGGUCGUAUGCCGUCGUGGCUGACGACGUUGCCGAGCAGUAGACCGGAAGGGACGCCAAAGAUGCACUUUUUGGGGUUAAGCUUCCACUUGUACUUGUUUAGCGCCUUAAAGGUUCGGUCUAAGUUGUCCAUUAGGGUGCUUGCAUCCCUUGUUUUGACGACGACGUCAUCUACAUAGGCCUCGACGAGGUCAUCACGGAUCUCGUCGUGGAGGCAUUGCUGGAUGGCCCUUUGAUAGGUGGCCCCGGCGUUUUUGAGUCCGAACGACAUGGUCAUGUAGCAGUAUGCGCCGAAAGGAGUAAUGAAAGACGUUUUUAUCUGGUCUUCUUCCUUUAGCAAGAUCUGGUGAUAGCCAGAGUAGCAGUCUAGAAAAGAGAGGAGUUCGCAUCCGGCCGUUGAGUCGACCACCUCGUCGAUGCGAGGGAGACCAAAAGGAUCUUUAGGACAGUGUUUGUUGAGAUCAGUGUAAUCAACGCACAUUCUCCAUUCAUUAUUCUUUUUGCGUACAAGAACCGGAUUGGCUAGCCAAUCGGGAUGAUACACUUCUUUUAUGAAUCCGGUUGCUAGAAGCCGUGUUAUUUCUGUCCUAAUAGCCUCCUUUUUGUCACGAGCGAACCGUCGCAGCUUUUGCUUGAUGGGUCUUGCGGUCUUCGAGACAUUUAAGGAGUGCUCGAUCAGGUUUCGUGGGACGCCGGACAUGUCUGCGGGUUUCCAUGCGAAAACGGUUACAUUGUCCCUUAGAAACCUGACAAGCGCGUCUUCCUAUUUAGGGUCCAGGUUGGCCCCGAUGAGGGCCGUCUUCUCGUGGCUGCCUUCGACCAGCUCCACUUCCUUGUGCUCCUUGGAUUUUGAGUUCUUCCUGGCGGUCCCCUGCUCGGGUAGUUGAAGCUGGUCGGGAGGUAGCUGUGCAGCCUGGGUUGCUGUCUCAGUCAUGCAGAUUGAGAUAUCGAUUGCUUCGGUGAUCUUGAAGCUCUCCUCCUCGCAAGUAUAUGCGGUGUAGACAUUACCCCUGACUGUUAGGACUCCUUUCUCCGUGGGCAUUUUAAGGACCAGGUAUGAGUAAUGCGGGACCACCAUGAAUUUUGUCAGCGAUGGUCGGCCCAGUAUGGCGUGGUAGGUUCCAUCGAAAUCGGCGACCACAAAGUUGACGAACUCUGUCCGAAAGUGGUCGGGCGUGCCAAAUUGGACAGGCAGUGUUAUCUGUCCGAGGGGCACUGAACUCUGGCCUGGCAAAACUCCCCAGAAUUGAGCAUCGUAGGGUUUUAGUUGUGCCGGUGAUAUCUUGAGAGUGGGCAGGCUGUUGCGGAAAAGGAUGUCAAUGGAGCUUCCUCCGUCUAUGAGCACACGCUCGAAUCUGAUGCCGUUGAUGCAUGGGUCUAGGAUUAGAGGGAAACGACCUGGCUCUGGGAUAGCGGCCCACUGAUCCUUUCUGCUGAAGGAGAUCUCCCUAUGCGACCACGGGGGAAAUUUCGGGUCGGCGAUCAGGCCGUCCGUGCUGUCUAUGUUGAGGCAGGCUCUCUUUAAGAGCUUUCGUUCUCGCUUGGAUUCGAUGGAGACCUUGCCCCCGAAGAUGGAGUGGACCAUGUCAGUGGGGCUGACAUAUUGGUGUCGAGGGUCCCUAUCUUGGUCGUCGUCCUCAUCUUCGUGGUCGUGCCCGUCUCGUUUGCUAUUUUUCUUGGCGGAGUCGUCUUGGGCGGCCCGCCGUGUAUAGAUAUUUUUGAGGACACGGCAUUCUUCCAUGGUAUGAUUGGACUUUGGGUGCAGCUGACACGGUCCCUUCAAUGUUUUGUUGUAGUCUUCUUGGUAGUCCCGCCGCCCGUUGGGACGCUUGACCGUAUUCACUUUGUGCUCGUGGUCACGGGGGCGCUUUCCUCUGAAAUCGUCGCGAUUGUCGUGCCGCCUGUCCCAGCCUUCUCUUUGAUCACGGUUGUCGGGGCGGCGGUGGUUCCUGUUGUCGAAACGACCACGACUGUCAUCUCGCCGAGGAGGCUGGUCGGGGCCUCUCGCAUCGUCCCGGAUUAGUUUUUCUGCGUCGUCGGCAUCGUCGUAAUUUUUAGCCGUGGCAAGGAGCUCGGCCAUCGUUGUUGGCCUUUUGCGCAACAGCUUGUUCCUCAGUGCCUCGUGAAAACGUAGGCCUUUGAUGAAGGCAGAGAUGGCCUCGUCGUGGGAAAUCUUCGGGAUCUUAAGGCGCAUAUCUGAGAAUCGCAGGAUGUAAUCGCGCAGAGGCUCGUUUUUCCUGUUCCUUAUCCUUUCGAGGUUGUAUUUGUUGCCAGGCUGCUCGCAUGUGGCGAUGAAAUUGUCGAUGAAGGCCUGGCGCAGCUCCUCCCAAGAGUCGAAGGAGUCCUCGGGCAGGCCAAGAAUCCACUGGUGACCAGCCUGGUCGAGGACUACUGGGAAGUAAUUGGCCAUGACGUGUUCGUCUCCUGCUGCUGAUCGGACGGCGAUCUCAUAAAGAGUGAUCCAGUUUUCCGGAUUUUCCUUGUCGUCGUAUUUUUUGAGUUUCUCGAGCUUGAAAUUGCGGGGCCAUACGACCUGGCGGAGAUGUGAGGAGAACUGCCUCAGGCCCGGGGGGCCGUGUGUUGCAUCAUAUUCGAUACGACGCAGGUUUUCGUGGACUGCUCUCUCCGUGGCGCGCCUGUUGAUGCGGUCACGGGCGUCUUUGGGAGGGAUGUUGUAUUGAAGAUCCCUGUGCUGGUUUACUUCCUGACCACGCCCAUGGUUCUGCUCGCGGCAACCGCCAGCACGCCGACCGUCGUCAUCACGCCGUGAAUCUUUUCGAUGAUUGUCGGUGGAACGGUGCGGUGAGGUGCGGCUGCGGUGAGUCUGGUCGGAGGUGGCCUCCGUAUAGGAGACGGCUUGGACUCUUUUGAGCAGAGUGGCUGUCUGUCCCAUUGCGGCGAUCAAAUGUGCUUGAACGCUGGUUCGGAUGCCCUGGCAAUCGGGAGUGUCAGGGAGCCGAUCUAAAUUGGCCAUGGCCACAGCCACGUUGGCGCUUGGCGUUUUGUAAACUGGCUGAUCCCCGACCAUGUCGAAAGCGUCGCUGAGAUUGUGCGGCGGGAUUUGACGUUCCUCGUCCGCGCGUCGUCAGGCUCGAUCGGCGUUACGCUGCUCACGGAGCUGCCUCUGCUCGUCUGUUUCUCCAUCGACGACUGGCUCGUCGGCACUGACAUUGAAAGCGAUGUCUCCUCGCCGUGGUGGGAAGACCGGGAAACGAGAGAAGCCCGGAGGAUGUGAAGGCAGAUCCAGGUCGUAGUCCUCGUCUUCGGAGUUUAUGACCUCGGUGGGGACGGAACCAGUGCUCGAGUUUGUACUGGAGGGCUGGCCGUCCCGUAGUUCUCGGAUCGUCACCAUGUUGACGUAGUGACGAGUUGGUCGACCGUUCUGUUUUGGCAGCCAACCUGCCCUUUUGAAAAGGGAUUGGACGUGCCGUGAGUAGAGAGAGGCCGAGUUGUUCAGACCGCAUGGGUAGCCCUCCUCCGGGUUAGCAUCGAGCUUGACGAAACGUCCUGAGGGAGUUGAGGUUAUUGUCAGAGACGUUCUCAGCCGUUCGUGUGUAACGACACGAGUUGGCCGGUCGGAGUUGAAAAAAUCCGCUAGAGCGGCUUGGUCAGGCUGGCGCGAGAUCCCAUCUACUAGUUGGGAAGCUUCGAGUAGUUUGGAAUCAGCACGACCAUGUGCUUGGAGAAGAUCCGAGCAGUCGACCUCCUUCCCCUUGUAGCGUGGGAGUGGUGGUCGGGCGCUCGGUGCCGUCGUCCGAGUAGUCGGAGGCGACGUCAUCCCAGAUCGGAUCUGGGUUUCUUCCAAAACUGUGGUCGUGAGACCACCACCGCGCGUCGUCCACGUGAUCUGGCCGACAGUGAACGUGAGGCCUUCAGGUACGGCCGCGGAAGCUGGAACUAUUACCAUCUUUUUCGUCGGAGAAGUUGUGCGCACACCCCCUACCUGGCGCGCCACUGUCGACGAAAGCUGGUCGGCAGUCUACCUUGGGGUAUACCCGCGGUAGUAGUUUAUCGGUAGACGGUGCACAAACUACGAACUCGAUGGUGACGCAAGACACGGACAAGCUUUUUAUCCAGGUUCGGCCGCCGUGUUGGCGUAAUACCUACGUCCUGCGUUUGGUUGUAUUGAUUUGUGUUGAGAGAAUAACUUGCCCUAGGGGGGUCCCUUGCCCCUCCUUAUAUAGUCCGGAGGGCAGGGUUACAGAUCUGGAAACUAAUCCUAGUCGGUUACAAUUGCCAUAGAUAGUUCGACAUCAAUCCCUAUUCUAACCAACUAGAAUCUUGCUUGAUCUCCACGUCUUGUUUCCUUGCGCGAAACUCCAAGCUGUUGGAUCAAGCCUUGAGCUUAUCUCGUAAUGGGCCAAGACUCCUGGCCCAGGUCUAGCCGUAAGGGUAUAGGGGUUUAUCCCCCCACACAACUCAACGGCUAGUCGGAUGCCGUGCAGGCAUGCUUCGUAUUCGGCGACAUUGUUUGAGGCCGGAAAAAGGAUCCUAAGGACGUAUCGCAGUUUGUCCUUGUUAGGCGAUACGAAAAGAAUCCCCGCGCCGGCGCCGUUGAUGUUCAAGGAGCCAUCAAAGAACAUCGACCAGUGGUCGGAGACGUCAGGAACGGGAGGCUCGUUGAGAUCCGUCCACUCUGCAAUGAAAUCGACCAGGGCCUGAGACUUGACUAUAGUGCGGCUCUGGAAUUCCAGGGAGAAUGGGCAUAAUUCCAUUGCCCAUUUUACAAUUCUGCCGUUGGCAUCUUUAUUUCGCAGAAUGUCCCCAAGAGGGAAACUGGUGGUUACCGAGACUCGAUGGCCGUCGAAGUAGUGCUUUAGCUUCCUCGAUGUUAUUAGAAUGGUGUAUAUGAGCUUUUGUAUUUGUGGAUAUCUAGCCUUGGAUUCGUUUAGGACUUCGCUUAUGAAGUAAACGGGUCGCUGGACCUUGUAAACAUGUCCUGGCUCGUCCCGCUCGACCACUAUUGCCGUGGAAACAACCCUGUCGGUUGCGGCAAUGUAAAGGAGUAGGUCUUCAUUGGGCGGAGGUGCUGUAAGAACAGGCGGUGAAGUGAGGAAAGUCUUAAGCUGGGUGAACGCAGCGACGGCUUCCUCUGUCCAAGAAAAUUUCUCCGAUGCCUUCAAGAGUUUGAAGAAAGGGAGGCCUUUUUCUCCUAGUCUUGAGAUGAAGCGACUGAGUGCGGCCAUACAUCCGGUGAGUUUCUGGAUAUCCUUGACAUUUUUAGGUGGUCGCAUGUCAAGUACUGCUUUUACUUUUGAAGGAUUCGGGCGUAUGCCGUCGCGGCUGACGACGUUGCCAAGUAGUAGACCGGAAGGGAUGCCAAAGAUGCACUUUUUGUGGUUAAGCUUCCACUUGUACCGGUUUAGCGCCUUAAAGGUUCGGUCUAAGUUGUCAAUUAAGGUGCUUGCAUCCCUUGUUUUGACGACGAUGUCGUCUACAUAGGCCUCGACGAGGUCAUCACGAAUCUCGUCGUGGAGGCAUUGCUGGAUGGCCCUUUGAUAGGUGGCUCCGGUGUUUUUGAGUCCGAACGACAUGGUCGUGUAGCAGUAUGCGCCGAAAGGAGUAAUGAAAGACGUUUUUAUUUGAUCGUCUUCCUUUAGCGAGAUCUGGUGAUAACCAGAGUAGCAGUCUAGAAAAGAGAGGAGUUCGCAUCCGGCCGUUGAGUCGACCACCUCGUCGAUGCGAGGGAGACCAAAAGGAUCUUUAGGACAGUAUUUAUUGAGAUCAGUGUAGUCAACGCACAUUCUCCAUUCAUUAUUCUUUUUGCGUACAAGGACCGGAUUGGCGAGCCAAUCGGGAUGAUACACUUCUUUUAUGAAUCCGGCUGCUAGAAGCCGUGUUAUUUCUGUCCUAAUAGCCUCCUUUUUGUCACGAGCGCACCGUCGCAGCUUUUGCUUGAUUGGUCUUGCGGUCUUCGAGACAUUUAAGGAUUGCUCGAUCAGGUUUCGUGGGACGCCGGGCAUGUCUGCGGGUUUCCAUGCGAAAACGCUCACGUUGUCCCUUGGAAGCCUGACGAGCGCGUCUUCCUAUUUGGGGUCCAGAUUGGCCCCGAUGAGGGCCGUCUUCUCGGUGCUACCGUCGACCAGUUGUACCUCUUUAUACUCUUUGGAUUUUGAAUUCUUCCUGGCGGUUUCCUGCUCGGGUACUCGGAGCUGGUCGGGAGGAAGCUGUGCCGCUUGGGUUGCAGUUUGUGCCAUCUGGAUUGAGAGAUCAAUUGCUUCAGUGAUCUUGAAGCUCUCUUCCUCGCAAGUAUAUGCAGUGUAGACAUUGCCUCUGACGGUCAGGACGCCCUUCUCCGUAGGCAUCUUGAGGACCAGGUAUGAGUAGUGCGGGACCGCCAUAAAUUUUGUCAGCGAUGGUCGGCCCAGUAUAGCGUGGUAGGUCCCGUCGAAGUCGGCGACCACAAAGUUGACGAACUCUGUCCGAAAGUGGUCUGGCGUGCCGAAUUGGACAGGCAUUGUUAUCUGUCCGAGGGGUACUGAACUCUGGCCGGGCAGGACUCCCCGGAAUUGAGCGACGUAAGGUUUUAGCUGUGCCGGAGAUAGCUUGAGAGCGGGCAGGCUGUUACGGAAAAGGAUGUCAAUGGAGCUUCCUCCGUCCACAAGCACCCGCUCGAAUCUGAUGCUGUUGAUGCAAGGGUCCAGGAUUAGAGGGAAACGACCUGGCUCUGGGAUAGCGGCCCACUGAUCCUUCCUGCUGAAGGAGAUCUCUCUGUGUGACCACGGGGGGAAUUUCGGGUCUGCGAUCAGGUCAUCCGAGCUGUCUAUGUUGAGGCAGGCUCUUUUUAGGAGCUUUCUUUCUCGCUUAGAUUCGAUAGAGACCUUUCCCCCGAAGAUGGAGUGGACCACGUCGGUGGGACUGACAUACUGGUGUCGUGGGUCCCUGUCUUGGUCUUCGUCCUCAUCUUCGUGGUCGCGUCCGUCUUGCUUCCCAUUCUUCUUAGCGGAGUCGUCUUGGGUGGCCCGCCGUGUGUAGAUGUUUUUGAGGACGCGGCACUCUUCCAUGGUAUGGUUGGACUUUGGAUGCAGUUGGCACGGUCCCUUCAACGUUUUGUUGUAGUCUUCUUGGUAGUCCCGCCGCCCGUUGGGGCGUUUAACUGUAUUCACUUCGUGGUCAUGGUCGCGGGGGCGCUUUCCUCUAAAAUUGUCACGAUUGUCGCGCCGCCUAUCCCAACCUUCCCUGUGAUCACGGUUGUCGGGACGGCGGUGGCUCCUGUUGUCGAAACGACCGCGAUUAUCAUCUCGCCGGGGAGGCUGGUCGGGACCUCUCGCAUCAUCUCGAAUAAGUUUUUCUGCGUCGUCGGCGUCGGCGUAAUUUUUAGCCGUGGCGAGGAGCUCGGCCACGUUGUUGGCCUUUUGCGCAGCAGCUUGUUCCUCAGUGCUUCAUGGAAGCGCAGCCCCUUGAUGAAAGCAGAUAUGGUCUCGUCAUGGGAAAUCUUCGGGAUCUUAAGGCGCAUAUCCGAGAAUCGUCAGAUGUAAUCGCGCAGAGGCUCGUCUUUCCUGUCCCUUAUCCUUUCGAGGUCGUACUUGUUUCCAGGCUGCUCGCAUGUGGCGAUGAAGUUGUCGAUGAAAGCCUGACGCAGCUCCUCCCAAGUGUCGAAGGAGUCCUCGGGCAGGCCAAGGAGCCACUGGUGACCAGCCUGGUCGAGGACUACUAGGAAGUAGUUGGCCAUGACGUGCUCGUCUCCUGCUGCUGAUCGGACGGCGAUCUCAUAAAGAGUGAUCCAGUUUUCUGGAUUUUCCUUGUCGUCGUAUUUUUUGAGUUUCUCGAGCUUGAAGUUGCGGGGCCACACGACCUGGCGGAGGUGUGAGGAGAACUGCCUCCGGCCCGGGGGGGCAUGUGUUGCGUCAUAUUCGAUACGAUGCAGGUUUUCGUGAACUGCUCUAUCUGUGGCGCGCCUGUUGAUGCGGUCUCGAGCGUCUUUGGGAGGGAUGUUGUAUCGAAGGUCCCUGUGCUGGUUUACUUCCUGACCACGCCCAUGAUUCUGCUCGUGGCGACCGCCAGCAUCCCGACUGCCAUCGCCACGCCGUGAGUCUUUUCGAUGAUUGUCGGGGGAUCGGCUGCGGUGGUGCCUGCUGGGCUGCGGUGAGGUCCGGCUGCGGUGAGUCUGGUCGGAGGUAGCCUCCGUAUAGGAGACGGGUUGGACUCUUUUGAGCAGAGUGGCUGUCUGUCCCAUUGCGGCGAUCAGAUGUGCUCGAAUGCUGGUUCGGACGCCCUGGCACUCGGGAGUAUCAGGGAGCCGAUCUAAGUUGGCCUUGGCGACAGCCACGUUGGCGCUUGGCGUUUUGUGAACUGGCUGAUCCCCGACCAUGUCGAAAGCGUCGCUGAGAUUAUGCGGCGGGAUUUGACGUUCCUCGUCUGUGCGUCGUCGCGCGCGAUCGGCGUUACGCUGCUCGCAGAGGUGCCUCUGUUCGUCUGUUUCUCCAUCGACGACCGGCUCGUCGGCGCUGACAUUGAAAACAAUGUCUCCUCGGCGCGGCGGGAAGACCGGGAAACGAGGGAAGCCCGGGGGAUGUGAAGGCAAAUCCAGGUCGUAGUCCUCGUCUUCGGAGUUUAUGACCUCGGUUGGGACGGAACCAGUGCUCGAGUUUGUGCUGGAAGCCUGGCCGUCCCGUAGUUCUCAGAUCGUCACCAUGUUAACGUAGUGAUGAGUCGGUCGACCGUUCCGUUUUGGCAGCCAACCCGCCUUGUUGAAAAGGGAUUGGACGUGCCGUGAGUAGAGAGAGGCCGAGUUGUUCAGACCGCAAGGGUAAUCCUCCUCCGGGUUAGCUUCGAGCUUGAUGAAUCGUCCUGAGGGAGUUGAUGUUAUUGUCAGAGACGUUCUCAGCCGUUCGUGUGUAAUGACACGAGUUGGCCGGUGGGAGUUGAAAAAAUCCGCUAGAGCGGCUUGAUCAGGCUGACGCAAGAUCCCAUCUACUAGUUGGGAAGCUUCGAGUAUCUUGGAAUCAGCGCGAUCAAGUGCUUGGAGAAGAUCCGAGCAGUCGAUCUCCUUCCCCUUGUAGCGUGGGAGUGGUGGUCGGGCGCUCAGUGCCGUCAUCCGAGUUGUCGGAGGCGACGUCACCCCAGAUUGGAUCUGGGUUUCUUCCGAAACCGUGGUCGUGGGACCACUGCUGCACGUCGUCCACGUGAUCUGGCCGACAGUGAACGUGAGGCCUUCAGGCACGGCUGCGGAAGCUGGAACUAUGACCAUCUUGUUCGUCGGGAGAGCUGUACGCACACCCCCUACCUGGCGCGCCACUGUCGAUGAAAGCUAGUCAGCAGUCUACCUUGGGGUAUACCCACGGUAGUAGUUUGUCGGUAGACGGUGCGCAAACUACGAACUCGAUGGUGACGCAAGACACGGGCAAGCUUUUUAUCCAGGUUCGGUCGCCGAGUUGGCGUAAUACCUACGUCCUGCGUCUGGUUGUAUUGAUUUGUGUUUAGAGAAUCACUUGUCCUAGGGGGGUCCCUUGCCCCUCCUUAUAUAGUCCGGAGGGCAGGGUUAUAGAUCUGGAAACUAAUCCUAGUCGGUUACAAUUGCCAUAGAUAGUUCGAUAUCAAUUCCUAUUCUAACCGACUAGAAUCCUGCUUGAUCUCCACAUCUUGUUUCCUUGCACGAAACUCCAAGCUGUCGGAUCAAGCCUUGAGCUUGUCUCGUAAUGGGCCAAGCCUCCUGGCCCAAAUCUAGCCGUAAGGGUAUAGGGGUUUAUACCCCCACAGCAAGGUUGUUCCGGCGAUCCUGUUCGCGUCCAGGGAGAAGUAGCGAGCACAUGAGCAACUGGAGCACGAAAAGAACUUGAAACGGCCGCUAGAGAGGUGUGAUACCGACUGGAACACCGUGGCCACGGGAAGAGCUCCACGGCGGCGGUCCCGGCCGGAAUUGGAGAAGACAGAGAAGCUCCGGCGAUUGAGCAGGUCAGAGAAAGAGCGAGGGGGUGCGCUGAGCUCGCAAGGAGGUGGCGAAUGCUCUGGGUUGCUCAAUUUGGCUUGAGAGAGAUUGGGUGCGACGAAUUUGAGAGAAAAGCUCGUCGGGGUUCCUUGGUUGUGGACAGGGAAAUCGGGCGGCGUCGCCCACGCUGGCGCUCAAGGGGAGGAGGAAGCGAGCCCGGGGCGCCCACGUCGCCUGGCGUCGCAGGCAGGCAAGCAGGCUGCGUGCCUGCACGCGCGCGGCGGCCGUGCUGGACAGGGGGCCGGUGAUCCUCAUCGGAUCACUGUAGCUGACCCUUAUCCCCUCUUCUCUAUCCCUUUGCAAAAUUCGGCCAAAACUUGAACUCAAGCCAAAUUGCCACCAAAAUUAAAGUUGUGUAAAAUUUUAUAAGCUAGAAAUCAUAUUUUGGUGACCAGAGCUAAUUCUGAGUGGAACAUGGUGAAUUUGUCAAAACAGUUUGCAAUUCAAAUAAUAAUUCAAGGAAAUUCAAAUUUUUGAAUUGGGGACAAAACAGAGUUUCCAAAAUUACUUUUGAUUUUCCAUAGCAACUUGAAAAACUCCCAACAUGACAGUUGUUCAAAUUUUUGAGCUCUACAACUUUCAUGUUGGUCACUUUUCAAAAUUCCAAGUAGAUUUUGAAUUGGAGAUUCAAAUUGGAAAAGGGGACACUUUCUAGAAAUCUGUAUUUUCAAAAUUACUUUGAAUUUUGUAUUGAAACUUCAAAAACUCAAAACACCAAAGUUGUACAUCUCAACGAGAUCUACAACUUUGCUUUUGAACUCAACCUCAAAUUUUGCUUGGUUUUUAAAUUGUGCAAAAGGGGGCAAUUCUAGGGUUCAAAAAUCACGGUUUUCCCCCCUAAUCUUUCGGAAAUCUUUCACCCUAGGGUUUUAGCAACCAACACAAGCAUCCAAACACAAUAUAAACACACUUUAAUUCCCUAAGCACAUUCAUCCAAAUUAAACUUAUUUCAAGUUAAUGCAUCAGGGUGUGCUUAACAAAUAUGUGGUGCAAUGUUGAUGAUGACAUGAUCCAAAUUUUAGUAACCGUAACGUCAGGGAUGUUACAGUGUCCGAAGUAGAAUUAGGGGUACAAAGAUACCCACCUGAGUGGAAAGAAUGGACAUGUGUCCAACAGUGGAAUCAGGGGUACUUGCUGCCCAUUUGAAAAAAAGAGAGAAAAAAGAAAAAAAAUGAUAGCCCAUGGUCCCUCUAAUAAGCUACAUGCUAGUAAGAGAUGACAAACUUUUCAAAAAGGUCAAAGGUCUUGAUCUAGGAGUAUGACAUUCCUCUCCCUGGCUCCGAGCAUUGACAUAGAAAAAUGCAAAGUAAGUAUGCUAAAACUUUUAAAGCUCUACUUAUAUAUCUUUCGAGAAGAAAGCAAAUGCCUCAGUUUUAAUUUGCAGACUUAUAAAAAACUCCAGAACAAAGGUAAGACAGAAGAACUUGAGACAUAGUGCUUGACUUGAUCAUUCUGUUUUUCAAUCACUUAAGACCUUAGUGAUAACUUAAAAACCCUAUAGUAAAAGGCAUAAAAGUAACCCCUAUUUUCUUGAUGAUUUUAGCUUUGCUCAGGGACGAGCAAAGGUUAAGCUUGGGGGAGCUUGUUGACGGUCCUUCAUGCACACAUUUAACCAUCAACUAAUCAUGCAAAGGGACUUAUAUGCAACCAACACCUAGACUUAGGGUUUCAUCUGACAAAAUUCCACGAGUUUUGGUGUUUGUCUAUUUCUGCAGGGGGUUAUCAGGAAAUAUGGAAGAAAGGCCCACAUGUCGGGAUUACAUAGAGAUAUUAACGUGCCGCGCAAUUUUAUACCAUCUAGAAGACUCCAGAAGCCACGGGAACAAACGGGAAGGCGAUCGGGCUCGGAGGCAGGGCGCCCGCCCUACUCUCUUGGGCGCUCGCCCUGCUACAGUGCCCAAUCAGAGUCGUUUUCGCGGAUCGUGCUCCACCAACCUAUGGGAUCAUGGAAAACCGUGCGAUUAAUGUCGGUUUGAUCCAACGGCCCAGAUUCACUUGAGGGGACUAUAUAAGCAGACCCCCUGGCCCCUGGAGAACAUACCUCUUCUACAGAAUCAAAGUUAGGGUUUCAAUUUUUCAUCCAAGUAGAGAGGAUCCCUCUAGUUCAUCUAGUUCUACCUCUAGUUCAUCUAGUUCUAGUUCUAGUUCAUCUAGUUCUAGUUCCUCUAGUUCUAGUUCUAGUUAGUUCUAGUUGUAAUCUAGAAAAUAGGGAGAGAGAAGAGGAGAGCGGAGGAGGAGGAGCCGGAUCUGUCGGAUCUUCCUCAACAUUGUUCUUUUGCAGCAACUGGUUCGUUCUUCAUCGUUCUCCAGGUUCUUCAAUCCAUAAUUCCUGAGUUCUAAAAUUACUUUUAUUUACAUUCAAGUUAUUUAUUGGAUUCCCGCUUGCAUCAAGUGCUCUAAUCAUUGCAACAUUAGAGUAGUAAUUAAUAGAUUAGACGUCGUGUUUAGUCUUGCAAUUACCUAGAAUUGCACCCAAUCCUGCGGAUUGUUGUGGUAGCCCUAGGGUAGUGACAGCCCUAACGGUCGACGUAUUCCACCUCGUUCGGAUCGGUGUUUGUAGGACCGUAGUUAGAGCUUCGUAGCCCCCUCCUCAUCUCUUUCUGUGGUUAGUGUUCUGAUGUCCCGAAAUAAAUAAUCUUUGAAGUAAUUCUUGAUUCUUAGAUCAACUAGAGAACUCUCUGGAAACUUCCUCUCUUCCCACCAAAAAUUAUUCUAUAGUUAUCCUUGGGCAAUCUUGAAUCUUAAUUAGUACACUCACGUUCCCUGUGGAAAAUCGAUACUCUGGAAUACUCUCGGGUGAAAGCUACAUCGGUAUCCGUGCGCUUGCGGAUUUUUCUGCUUGCGUUUAAAAUACCCAACAGACACCAUCAACAAGAAGUGACCAUUGCCGUCUACUAAAGUUGUCAAGCUGACUGAAGAAUGUAGCGCAGCUAUACUCAAUGAGCUGCCCGAGAAGAAGCAAGAUCUUGGGUGCCCCACAAUCUCUUGCUCAAUUGGGGCCCAGCAAUUCGACUACGCCCUAUGUGAUUUGGGGGCGAGUGUGAGCAUCAUGCCGAAAUCAGUCUUUGAUAGGACGAACAUCACCAACUUGGAGCCAACCACCAUGACACUCCAGUUGGCAGACUCGUCAGUCCGGUACCCGGUAGGGAUUGCUCAAGACAUCCAUGUCAAGAUCAGAGGAUACUAUGUUCUAGUGGAUUUUGUGGUGCUCGACAUGGAGCUCACUAAAGAAACACCACUAAUCCUAGGAAGACCAUUCUUGAGUACGGUUGGAGUACAGAUUGAUGUUGGGGCUGGAGAAAUCCGCUUCAGUAUUAAUGGCCAAGAAGAGAAGUUCGAGUCUAGGCAACGCCGUCAGCAAGAGUGCAACAUGAUAAGCAUCCUCUAUGGGCCAAACCGCCGAGGCAUUAGGCAGGUUGAGAUGAGCCUCAACUUAUUAAAAUACAAAAAUAUCUAAGAAAAAGUCGGAGCUAAAAGAAAAGGUGGCUCCUAAGAAAAAUAAUAAGGAGCAGAAAAAGAAAAUAGCUCCUAAAAAGAAUGAAAAGAGGGACGAAGUCCCCAAGCCUUUGUUGACGGUCCUUAAGUAUCAAAUUUAAUUAUCAAAUAAACAAAGAAAAGGAUCCAAAUGCAACCGACAUGCAGACUUAGGGUUUUAUCUGACAGAAUUCCAUGAGUUUGGUGUUUGUCUAUUUCUGCAGGGGGUUAUCAGGAAAUACGGAAGAAAGGCCCACACGUCGGGUUUACAUAGAGAUAUUAACGUGCCGUGCAAUUUUCUUUCAUCUAGAAGAAUCCAGAAGCCAAGGGAACGAAUGGGAAGCCGAGAGGGCUCAGGGACAGGGCGCCCGCCCUACUCCCUAGGGCGCCCGCCCAGCUACAGUGUCCAAUUCGGACCCGUUUUGCGGAUCACGCUCCACCGACCUAAAGGAUCAAGGAUAACCGUUCAAUCAAUGUCGGUUUGAUCCGACGGCCCAGAUUCCUCUGAAAAGACUAUAUAAGCAAGGUCCCCUAGCCCCUGGAGAUCAUACCUCUUCUACAGAAUCAAAGCUAGGGUUUCCAUUCUUCAUCCAAGUAGAGAGGAUCCCUCUAGUUCAUCUAGUUCUAGUUCUAGUUCAUCUAGUUCUAGUUCCUCUAGUUCUAGUUCAAGUUCGUUCUAGUUGUAAUCUAGAAAAUAGGGUGAGAGAAGAGGAGAGCGGAGGAGGAGCCGAAUCUGUCAAAUCUUCCUCAACAUUAUACUUUUGCUGCAACUGGUUCGUUCUUCAUCGUUCUCCAAGUUCUUCAAUUCAUAAUUCCUGAGUUCUUUAAUUACUUUUAUUUACAUUCAAGUUAUUUAUUGGAUUCCCACUUGCAUCAAGUGCUCUAAUCUUUGCAACAUUACAGUAGCAAUUAAUAGAUUAGACGUGGUGUUUAGUCUUGCAAUUACCUAGAAUUGCACACAAUCCUACGGAUUGUUGUGGUAGCCCUAGGGUAGUGACAGCCCUAACGGUCGACAUAUUCCACCUCGUUCGGAUCGGUGUUUGUAGGACCGUAGUCAGAGCUUCCUAGCCCCCUUCUCAUCUCUUUCUGUGGUUAGUGUUCUGAUGUCCCGAAAUAAAUAAUCUUUGAAGUAAUUCUUGAUUCUUAGAUCAACUAGAGAACUCUCAGGAAACUUCCUCUCUUCCCACCAAAAAUUAUUAUAUAGUUAUCCCUGGGCGAUCUUGAAUCUUAAUUAGUACACUCACAUUUCCUGUGGAAAAUCGAUACUCUGGAAUACUCCCGGGUGAAAGCUACAUCGGUAUCCGUGCACUUGCGGAUUUUUCUGUUUGCGUUUAAAAUACCCAACAGACAUCAUCAACAAGAAGCGACCAUUGCCGUCUACUAAAGUUGUCAAGUUGACAGAAGAAUAUAGCGCAGCUAUACUCAAUGAGCUGCCCGAGAAGAAGCAGGAUCCUGGGUGCCCCACACUCUCUUGCUCAAUUGGGGCCCAGCAAUUCGACUACGCCCUAUGUGAUUUCGGGGCGAGUGUGAGCGUCAUGCCGAAAUCAGUCUUUGAUAGGACGAACUUCACCAACUUGGAGCCAACCACCAUGAUACUCCAGUUGGCAGACUCGUGAGUCCGGUACCCGGCAGGGAUUGCUCAAGACAUCCUUGUCAAGAUCAGAGGAUACUAUGUUCUAGUGGAUUUUGUGGUGCUCGACAUGGAGCUCACUAAAGAAACACCACUAAUCCUAGGAAGACCAUUCUUGAGUACGGCUAGAGCACAGAUUGAUGUUGGGGCUGGAGAAAUCCGCUUCAGUAUUAAUGGCCAAGAAGAGAAGUUCGAGUUUAGGCCAUGCCAUCAGCAAGAGUGCAACAUGAUACGCAUCCUCUAGGGGCCAAACCGCCGAGGCAUUAGGCAGGUUGAGAUCUAGCCUCAACUAAUUAAAAUACAAAAAUAUCUAAGAAAAAGCCAGACCUAAAAGAAAAGGUGGCUCCUAAGAAAAAUAAUAAGGAGCAGAAAAAGAAAAUAGCUCCUAAAAAGAAUGAAAAGAGGGACGAAGUCCCCAAGCCUUUGUUGACAGUCCUUAAGUAUCAAAUUUAUUUAUCAAAUAAACAAAGAAAAGGAUCCAAAUGCAACCGACAUCCAGACUUAGGGUUUUAUCUGACAGAAUUCCACGAGUUUGGUGUUUGUCUAUUUCUGCAGGGGGUUAUCAGGAAAUACGGAAGAAAGGCCCACACGUCGGGUUUACAUAGAGAUAUUAAUGUGCCGUGCAAUUUUCUAUCAUCUAGAAGACUCCAGAAGCCAAGAGAACGAACGGGAAGCCGAGAGGGCUCAGGGACAGGGCGCCCGCCCUACUCCCUAGGGCGCCCGCCCAGCUACAGUGUCCAAUUCGGACCCGUUUUGCGUAUCACGCUCCACCGACCUAAAGGAUCAAGGAUAACCGUUCAAUCAAUAUCGGUUUGAUCCGACGGCCCAGAUUCAUCUGAAAAGACUAUAUAAGCAAGGUCCCCUGGCCCCUGGAGAUGAUACCCCUUCUACAGAAUCAAAGCUAGGGUUUCAAUUCUUCAUCCAAGUAGAGAGGAUCCCUCUAGUUCAUCUAGUUCUAGUUCUAGUUCAUCUAGUUCUAGUUCCUCUAGUUCUAGUUCUAGUUUGUUCUAGUUGUAAUCUAGAAAAUAGGGAGAGAGAAGAGGAGAGCGGAGGAGGAGCCGGAUCUGUCGGAUCUUCCUCAACAUUAUACUUUUGCUGCAACUAGUUCGUUCUUCACCGUUCUCCAAGUUCUUCAGUUCAUAAUUCCUGAGUUCUUUAAUUACUUUUAUUUACAUUCAAGUUAUUUAUUGGAUUCCCGCUUGCAUCAAUUGCUCUAGUCUUUAUAACACUAGGGUAGUAAUUAAUAGAUUAGACAUGGUGUUUAGUCUUGCAAUUAUCUGGAAUUGCACCCAAUCCUGCGGAUUGUUGUGGUAGCCCUAGGGUAGUGACAUCCCUAACGGUCGACGUAUUCCACCUCGUUCGGAUCGGUGUUCUGAUGGUUAGUGUUCUGAUGUCCCGAAAUAAAUAAUCUUUGAAAUAAUUCUUGAUUCUUAGAUCAAGUAGAGAACUCUCAGGAAACUUCCUCUCUUCUCACCAAAAAUAAUUAUAUAGUUAUCCUUGGGCGAUCUUGAGUCUUAAUUAGUACACUCACGUUCCCUGUGGAAAAUCGAUACUCUGAAAUACUCCCGGGUGAAAGCUACAUCGGUAUCCAUGCGCUUGCAGAUUUUUCUGUUUGCGUAUAAAAUACCCAACAAGCUUUCUGGCGCCGUUGCCGGGGAACGGUAGCUCUGCUAGUUUCGAACCAAGUCGUCCGUGUAUCCUUUUUCUUUUCCUUUUUUUACCACACUCACCUUACCAUUUUCACUACACCACAUGGAUUUCACUCCAAGCAUUAAUGAGCAUGGAAUUUAUUUCAUAGCCACUUCAUUUACUCCAUGUUCAUAUGCAACAUGUUCCCAAUCUUUUGGUCUCUCCAACAUCACCACAUUCAAGAUCUCCAACCCCCUCUUCCUUUCUAUCUACAAAAACUUUAUAAGGGCGGUUGUCGAUGCAUAUGUUUAUAAUAAAUAUUGCAGAUCUGGUUGAGUUGAUCUUGAUAUAGGUCAGCGUUGGCAGGGAAACCACUUCGCUGACAUAAAUUGAUGGUUUCCCAAUGACAAGCUUAGUGUCCUAAAAUAAGCACUGAUCAGAUCGUAACAUGAGCUUUUAAUUAUUUGCAAAAUUACCUUGUGUAUUUAUCAUAUAAGGAUAAUUGUAAAAAAAAAUUCCUUCGAGUAUUCUUGUCACUAACCUUUCCAAGAUUGGAGCAAGAAGAUCGGAUGAAUGACAAGCACAAGGUAUGUCCAACCAAUCAUCAUACAACAUUGAUCUAAAUUCAUCCAAACUUGAAUUUUGCAAAAUUCAAGCUUAGGGGAGUACUUUACAUCAAAACAUCCUUUGCCAUGUUAUUAUGUUGGUUGUCCCUACCUUUGAGACAUGCUCAAUUUUUUAAAAUACUAAUCACACUACUUCAUCUCCACUUGAGUAGAUCUCUAUAAAUGCUCUCAUGCUACCUUUAUUUGCUUUAGUAUAUGUCUAGAUCUGGAGUAGUUUCAUUUAUCUCUUAAUUAAGCAUGGUGCUUAGUUAGGAAUGUUGAUCUUAUGUCCAAGGGAUUUUAAAUUAAGCAUGGUGCUUAGGUUAAAAUGCCCUCCUAAAUCAAAUUAGACAUGGUGUCUAGGUUGAUCUUUGAGCCGAUAGUAUGCUAUAGUCGAUAUUGGAUAUUUUGUUGGACUAACCCCUGCAGGAAAACUUUCAAUAUCGACCUGGGAAGUCCUGGGAUAAACUCACAUUGGAGACAAAGAGAGAGACACAUAAAGUUUAACAAUUUACCCAAGGAAGGCAUAGCUCACAAGAGAUGAUCCAUGGAGGGUGCCACAAACACGAUGCAUAACCGCUAAGAAAGCAAAGCUUCCACAAGGUGAAACUGUAUCAUCAUUCUUCAAGUAAGGUAACAUCUUAAGGUACUUGACUAUCACUUUUAUAAGUUUCUCCUUGGUUCUGGCGUUCACAUGAAUAAAAGAUACAAACAUGUAUGAUUUACAACUCUAGACUAACCAACCCAAUCAAUUCAAUAUGUUUAGUCCUUCCACCUUUGUGAUCCCACACUCCUAAUCAUAUGAGCUAAAAUGUCGCACACUCAUUCUUUGGAAGAUAUAUUAAAAAAACAUAAGUAUAGAUAGAUUAUCUUUCCAUUAGGUUGAGUGAUCUGAUCUGACAAAUGUUUUAAAUGCUACACUCAUGAUCUUAUUAUCCAUCAACUUUGUCUUGCUCACUAAGCUUAAGGAUUGAGAAGAACAAAUACACUUUUGGUUCUGUUGGUGUUUUCCACCAACAGGGCCCAUGCACUUGAUCUCUGCCUUGUCUCUAUGAGCAGGUACACUUCGAGCAAAAUAUGAAGGAGUUUUACAACUCCCAGACUCCACCAAGUGAAGAACCUGGAUCUACGAGCACAAGCACACUGGAGAUACUGGACACUCAGGCAAUCACUGCCCUGAGAUGCUUGAGGACGUAAACUACAUAAACAACAACAACUACUACAACCGUCCUCAACAAAAUCAAGGUUGGAAUCAACGGAGGCCAUUCCUGAACACCUUGGGAGCUGUCAUCUAUGCUAGUGCUGCCAAGAUCAGUUUCUACAUCAAGAGGAGGAAGGAGACGUUUUCCUUCAAGAACAAGACUACACAAAUCUUAGAGCAAUCCCGACAUGAACCAAGGAAGAGGACCAACAGGAGGAACAGGAACAAGCAAAUAUGGACCGAGUCAGCUAAGAUGGUCACUACAGUUCAAGGAGGUCAAGAUCGUCGAUUUAAGUCACCGUUCCUGACCAAAAAGGACGACCCAAGUAUGCCAAGCAUCUAGUGCUCCGUUAAUGGAUACAUCUUCUAGAAGAUGCUUUGCUACAUCGGGUCAGGUGUCAACAUAAUGGCUGCAGUCACCUAUCAGCUCCUGUUCGGAACCAUGCCCCUAAAACCGACAUACAUUCACCUCCAGAUGGAAGAUCAGACAUUCCGAAAGGUUGAAGACGAGUAUGAUCCACCCAUCAUCCUUAGAAGACCAUUCCUCAGCACCGUUAAAGCAAUCAUCUACAUUGGAACCGGAGAAGUCCACAUGAACUUCCCCUCUGAGAAGGUACGCCGCUAUUUUACUGACCUUAACUAUAUAGUUGAAGACUCUAAGCAGGUCAGGACAAGAAGAAGACGAUGCAACCGCAACCAGAGAAGGAAAAUUAUCAAGGACGGAUGAGCAGACUACGAAGGAGAAGUAGUAAGGUCUGAAGACAUACAGCUUGAACAGAACUGUCCUGAGGAAACCGUAGCACCAAGUCAGGUGUGGAGAGAGAAGAUAGUUAUACAUGAAGAGCAGGCGCCGACGGAACCACUGACUACGCCAUCCAGUAAAUCUCAGGACAAUUGAGAAAACGGAGAGUCCCGUUCGGAGGACUUAAAAACACCAAAUGCCUUGCCAAGAGGUAAACUUGGUAAUUAUCCUUUUCCUUUCAAUUAUUUUAAAAUAGUUUGCUUAGUUAAUCAGGUUCAUAUAAUUUUGAAAAGGAAAUAAAAAUGUUAAAAAUAGUAAGCCCCAUGUGAGUAUGCUCAUGGCAUGAAACCCAUAAGUACAUUCAUUGUGGUGGUAUAAAAAUGAAAUAAAUAUAUUCCUAUCCUAUAAAAAUAAAAAUACAAAAAUAAAUUUAUGAUCCUACGAAAGAGAGUAACAUUUAUUUAGGAGGUCAACAUGAUAACGGCUAAGAGAUUUUAUGCUAACACUUAACCAGUUCCACAAAGCUUUGUUGUCUAUUUGAGCUCCACAGAAUUCAAGGAUCAAAGAAGACUAGCAGACGGAGGACAUCCUAAAUCGCUGUCAGGGUGCUGCCGACAUUCAAACACACCUCCGCACAUGCUAGCUACAUCAGCAGAAAUUACGUCAAAAUCCAGCUUGGGGGAGAGCACCACCAUUUAUCUAGCUAAGUAUUCUACUCAUGUUUAUACUUUACUCUAAUAAUAAAAAGAUACAUAGUCAUAUAAACCCAAAUAAAGAUUUUGUGCUUAUAUAUAUAUAUAUCUUUGCUUAGUUUGCUAAAUAAAUAAAUAAAUAAAGUUUGCUACGAACCCUCAUGAUAAGCUCUCACAUGGAAAUGAUGAAUAGUCGCUCUGCCAUGACUAGUUUUCAAAAUUGAAAUCUCUCUCAAGUUUAGGCAUGACUGUUAUUAAUUAAGAUUUGCUCUAAACCUGAACUUGUGGGAAGAGUACUUGAUCCAAAGUCUAAGUCGUUAACGGAUAUGAUAUGGGAAGGUUGAGUUGUUGUUUAUCUGUUCCUAGAGAUGCUAGAAUUCUGGAGAAUUUUAUCUUUGAAAAUCAUUAAAAUAACACAUGAUAAGUUCCUGUAUGAUGAGAGUUUAAAUACCUACCACAGCCAUAUAUACAUGCUUGCUAGACUUUGAGCCACACAUUUACUUUUUACUACUUAUGAGCAUUGAGUGUGGUCAAGCUGUGUAGACCCUUAGGAGCUUGUCAUGUGGUUAAAAUCAAGAUUCACUUGCACGUUCACUCACACAUGCUGCUUCUACUCCGGAAGUACGCAUCCACUUGUAUCCACCCAUUUCCAUCUCCAGAACCACCCAAAAAUAUUCUACUCCUAAUCCGGAAGAGAAUAGCCAAAAACAUUCUCCUAUUUCUGUUUUCCCCUGUGAAAUAAAUGCUUGAGAUAUUUUGGUUACUACCACUUGCUACAUUAUUCUAGGAGGGUGAGUGCUCUGAAAAAAAUACGAGGAAAUAAAAAGAGGCAAGUGCCCGGAACCUCAAAAGAAAAGAAAAAGUGAGACGAGAGGUAAAAAUGGACAAGUGUCCGACAGUAGAAUUAAGGGUACAAGAUACCCACCUGAGAGAAAAGAAAAAAAGUAUAGAGCAUCUCAUUCUCCUCAAAAAGUUUCAAAAGAGCAAGAAAGGUAUGUAUCUCCUCAAAAGAGCACAAGUAGAAUUAGACUUUCACCAUUGUUAUCACCAUUCAUUCGCCACACAUGCACAUCUUGAUUUGACUUAUUGACUUGUUCUUCUAGGUCCAUGGUUUGACUAUGCAAAAAAUGUCUUGUAAGUAUGUAUUAGCUGUCUGUCACCUAUGAGCUCCAGAUAUCAAAACCUUAUUAGAGUAGGGUGAGAGAGAAGGCAAUGCCAAUAUGCCUUAUACCACAAAAACUAUAUACUUUGAGAGAAGGCAUAUACCAUCACUGCCUUGGUAAGGAUCCAGAAAUACCACAAAAGAGAGAUCUGAGAGAGUCAUACAAGGAAUCUCUGAGUUUUAUUUGAAAAUCUGCAAAAACUCCAGAGUUAUAGCUGAUCAAGAAUAAGAGACAUGGCACUUGCUAGACCGUUCUAUCUUUUAACUGCUCCAGACACAAGUGACGGUUACAAGUCCCAUGGUAAAAGGUAAAACCAGUAAGUUUUAAGUCUUGACAGUUUACCCUAACUCGGAGAUGAGAUCUUGUUUAAACGCAUGUGUACCUUUAAGGCAUGAAACCACAUCAGAAACUCUUGAGUUCAUCUUUGCUCAAGGACGAGCGAAGGUUAAGCUUGGCGGAGCUUGUUGACGGUCCUUAAUGCUCACAUUUAACCGUCAACUAAUCAUGGAAAAGGACUUAUAUGCAACCAACACCUAUAAUUAGGGUUUUAUCUGACAGAAUUCCACGAGUUUUGGUGUUUCUCUAUUUCUACAGGGGGUUAUCAGGAAAUACGGAAGAAAGGCCCACAUGUCGGGUUUACAUAGAGAUAUUAACGUGCCGCGCAAUUUUCUAUCAUAUAAAAGACUCCAGAAGCCACGGGAACGAACGGGAAGCCGAGAGGGAUCAAGGACAGGUCGCCCGCCCUACUCCGUAGGGCGCCCGCCCAGCUACAGUGUCCAAUUCGGACCCAUUUUGCGGAUCACGCUCCACCGACCUAAAGGAUCAAGGAUAACCGUUCAAUCAAUGUUGGUUUGAUCCGACGGCCCAGAUUCAUCUGAAAAGACUAUAAAAGCAAGGUCCCCUGGCCCCUGGAGAUCAUACCUCUUCUACAGAAUCAAAGCUAGGGUUUCAAUUCUUCAUCCUAGUAGAGAGGAUCCCUCUAGUUUAUCUAGUUCUAGUUCUAGUUCAUCUAGUUCUAGUUCGUUCUAGUUGUAAUCUAGAAAAUAGGGAGAGAGAAGAGGAGAGUAGAGGAGCCGGAUCUGUCAGAUCUUCCCAAACAUUAUACUUUUGCUGCAACUGGUUCGUUCUUCAUCGUUCUCCAAGUUCUUCAAUUCAUAAUUCCUGAGUUCUUUAAUUACUUUUAUUUACAUUCAAGUUAUUUAUUGGAUUCCCGCUUGCAUCAAGUGCUCUACUCUUUAUAAUGCUAGGGUAGUAAUUAAUAGAUUAGACUUGGUGUUUAGUCUUGCAAUUACCUGGAAUUGCACCCAAUCCUGCGGAUUGUUGUGGUAGCCCUAGGGUAGUGACAGCCCUAACGGUCGAUGUAUUCCACCUCGUUCGGAUCAGUGUUUGUAGGACCGUAGUCAGAGCUUCCUAGCCCCCUUCUCAUCUCUUUCUAUGGUUAGUGUUCUGAUGUCCCGAAAUAAAUAAUCUUUGAAGUAAUUCUUGAUUCUUAGAUCAACUAGAGAACUCUUAGGAAACUUCCUCUCUUCCCACCAAAAAUAAUUAUAUAGUUAUCCUUGGGCGAUCUUGAGUCAUAAUUAGUACAAUCACGUUCCCUGUGGAAAAUCGAUACUCUGGAAUACUCCCGGGUGAAAGCUACAUCGGUAUGCGUGCGCAUGCAGAUUUUUCUGUUUGCGUUUAAAAUACCCAACACCUCUCGACCCUAAUUCAUUAUUCAUCAGGGAGAAGAAGCCUCUUAUCAAGCCCUAGAGCCACCACAUCAAUUAGAUCUCUAGAUUAGCAUAGCUACAUAGGAUUAGAACUAGAAGGAGUCAAUCUUCGAUUGGUUUCCGGAUCUGUCAAGAGGAUUCUUGGUAAUUCUCUAUUGUUCUUCAAUUGUUCAUCAUUGUUCUUCAAUAUUAUGAAUAUGACUUUGUUCUACUUCAAUAUAUUGGUUAUGACUUUGCUCUACUUGUUUAUAUUCGCAAUUAUAUUGUUCUUAGUUUAUCAUAGUUAUAUAUUUGGCUUAGUUAGAUUGGAAUUAUAUACAUGUUUAGGAUCGUAUAGCGUUUAUCCAUUGGAUCCAUGGGUAAAUGAUAGAUAUUGUGUAUGCGUGGUGCCUAUACCCUAUUUAUCUACGAUUGUACCCUAUAUGCUAGAUCACGGGGUAGUUCGUGGUAGUGACAGCUCCAUCAAUUCUUAUAUAGUCCCCCUCUCGUGUAUUGGGCUGGCAGAGCAAUAUUAUUAUAGGGGAGUGAUUGCGAUGUUUCUCAUAUUUCUUGAUAAUAUCACUAUGCAUGGGCGUAGUCCUGUCUCACAAUGAUUGAUAAGUAUAAUUGCACUAACUAUGAUAUGUAGACUAUAUAGUUGAGAAUAACUUAGGAAAUAUUCUUGUAGUUCUUCCUAAUACCAUGCUAAUGACUUGCUAGAAUAUCUAAUUGAGGUGCUUAUCGUAUUUAUUAUGUGGCUAAGUUAUGCUGAUCAGACUAAUUAUCUUUGUCACUAUUCAUUACUUUAUAUAUCCUUUAUGUGACACUUAUCCCUGUACAAAAGAGAUAGAUAAAUGUUCUCAAUUAUACAUGCAAUGAUAGAUACUUAAUCUUAUAUUCCAUUCUAUAAUCAACAUUGAUGGUUACUAAUCCCUUCCCAGUGGUAAAAAUAUAAAUAACGAUACCUGGAAUACUUUCCGGUUGAAAUGCUACAUCGGUAUUAAUCUGUGCGCUUGUAGAUCUCAUUUGUUAUUUAUUUAGAAGAGCAAUUGCAUAUUUCAAUACCGCGCCUCUUAUGUCAUGCUGGGGAUGACAACUUAGCUUAAGUGGCAUGAGGGAUAGGUUUGGCAUUUUUGGCGUCGUUAUUAGAAUUAGAAAACUAAGUCUACUUUUCGUAGUGACGUUAAGAAUGCCCAAAAAUCAUUUUUGGCGCCGUUGCCGGGGAAGGUUGAUUACUAAUCAGGAAUGAAUAUAGAAUUUCAAGUCAUCAUUCGCAUCACUAAUAUGAUUGAGCUUAUCAAUUCUCUCAUACAGUUUUACCCCGAUAUUUUUCUAUUUUAUCUUAUGCAGGGUAAUGUAUGAAUAGAAGACAUCUUCUAGGAAAUUUUGUUGACAAUCCCGAAGCAUUAUUCAGAAAAACAAGAGCCAAGCUCAAGAAGAGAUCAUCAACACUUCAGCAUGAAGCUUCAUCCAAUCAAGAAGAUCACCGGAACUUGUCUUCAGAGUACGAAGCCAUGGCGAACAAAUCGAUCCGUGAGUUCUCAGCUCCCACUACGGACAACAUCCGCACUGGACCUACUGCAGAGAUCGAUGGCAACUUUGAGCUCAAACCUGGACUUAUCAACAUGGUGCAAUCCAACUAGUUCUGUGGGAAGGCACAUGAAGAUGCUAGUGCUCAUCUCCAACACUUUCUGGAGAUUUGCAGCACAUUCAAAAUAUCAGGAGUCCCCAGAGAUGCUAUACUACUUCGCCUCUUCCCAUUCUCACUGUUAGGGAGAGCGAAGGAGUGGUUCUACGCUACAAAGGAGAAGAAUACUACGUGGGCACUCUGCUCCACGAACUUUCUAGCUAACUUCUUUCCCAUGGGCAAGACCAAUGCUCUCCGUGGGAAAAUUACAAGUUUUCAGCAACAACAUGAUGAAUCUAUUCCAGAAGCAUGGGAGCGCUUCCAAGACUACAUCCUAGAAUGUCCCCAUCAUGGAAUGGAGAGUUGGCUACUGAUGUAGACGUUUUAUCAUGGGCUCGGCAACAGUGCCUGAGAAACCAUGGAUGCUGCAGCUGGAGGACCAUUCCUAUCACUUACUAUAUCACAAGCCACAGCUCUUGUGGAGAAGAUGGCGUCCAACCAAAGCUGGAAUGAAGAGAGGACCCAGACACGCAAGAGAGGUGGAGGUAUACAUCAGCUCAAGGAGGUAGACAUGCUGUGUGCAAAGCUAGACCUGCUCAUGAAGAAGCUCGAUGAUAGAGCUGGAGAUAAGAAAGAAGUUAUGCACAUCUACGAUUCUCACAUGACUUGUGAGGAGUGUGGAGAUACUGGACACUCAGGCAAUCACUGCCCUGAGAAGCUUGAGGAUGUGAACUACAUCAACAACAACUACUACUACUACAACUGUCCUCAACAAAAUCAAGGUUGGAAUCAACAAAGACCUAACUACUCAGGUAAUUAUAAAGGUAACAAUUCUUACAAUAAUACUAAUAAUUUUCCACAUCUGAGAGAGUUAGUGUCUAAUCAAGGAAAGCUAAUGGAUAACUUAUUUAAGAAACUGAUAUCUAAUGAUAAAAUGCUAGAAAAUAUAAAUAACGGAAUGGAUAAUUUCUCCACUGCCAUCAAGAAUCAAAUUAGCUUUAAUAAAAUGAUUGAAUCUCAGUUAAAUCGAAUAGCUGCUGCUGUUCCUGCUACUAACCCCGGUAUACCAUCACAACCGGAAGAAUUAGAAUCUGUAAAUGUUGUAGACAUGUUUGAUGCAGGUAACUAUUGGAGUAACCCCGUCACUGAAGUAACUACUGACCUUCUGCCGCUCAAGCGAGGCGAUCCAGGACGCCCCGUCAUCCCGAUCUCCAUCAACAUGGUGGACUUCCCAGAAGUACUUUGCGACUUUGGCUCUAGUGUCAACAUUAUGCCCAGGGUACUCUAUGAAAAAUUCUUUACAUAUCCUUUAUUAGAAACAACCAUGUGUUUGCAGUUUGCAGAUCAUUCGUUAAGUUUCCUAAAGGGAAUAUUGAAUAAACUUUGCGUCCGAGUUGGUACCUUGUACGCCCCAGAGACUUCGUGGUGAUAGAGACCGGUAAUGAUGAGAGGGCACCCAUCAUCUUAGGGAGGCCAUUCUUAAACACCUCGGGAGCUGUCAUCUACGCUAGUGCUGCCAAGAUCAGUUUCUACAUCAAAGGGAGGAAGGAGACGUUUUCCUUCAAGAACAAAACUACACAAAUCCCAGAGCAAUCCCGACAUGAACCAAGGAAGAGGACCAACCGAAGGAAUAGGAACAAGCAAGUGUGGACCGAGUCAGCUAAGAUGGUCACUGCAGUUUGAGGAGGUCAAGAUCAUCGACUUAAGUCACCGUUUCUGACCAAGAAGGACGACUCAGGAAUGCCAAGCAUCUAUUGCUCCAUAAAUGGAUACAACUUCUACAAGAUGACUUGCGACACCGGAUCAGGCAUCAACAUAAUGGCCGCAGUCACCUAUCGGCUCUUGUUCGGAACCAUGCCCCUAAAACCAACAUACAUUCAGCUCCAGAUGGCAAAUCAGACAUUUCGAGAGGUUAAAGGUAUAGUAACUGAUGUCCCUAUCAAAAUAGUCGAUCAUUUUGUCUACACAGACUUUCAGAUUAUUGACAUGGUAGAAGAUGAGUAUGAUCCACCCAUCAUCCUUGGAAGACCGUUCCUCAGCACCGUUAAAGCAAUUAUCUACAUUGGAACUAGAGAAGUUCAAAUGGACUUCCCCUCAGAGAAGGUACGCCGCUAUUUUACUGAUCCUAAUUAUAUCGUUGAAGACUCUAAGCAGGUCAGGACAAGAAGAAAACGACGCAACCGCAACCAGAGGAGGGAAAUCAUCAAGGACGGAUGGGCAAACUAUGAAGGAGAAGUAGUAAGGUCUGAGGACAUACAGCUUGAACAAGAUUAUUCUGAGAAGACCGUAGCACCGAGUCAGAUGUGGAAAGAGAAGAUAACUAUACAUGAAGAGGAGGCGCCGCUGGAAGCACCGACUGCGCCACCCAACGAACCCCAGGACAACUGAGAAAACGGAGAGUCCUGUUCGGAGGACAUAAAAACACCGAACGCCUUGCCAAGAGGUAAACUUGGUAGUUAUCCUUUCCCUUUCAAUUAUUUUAAAAUAGUUUGUUUAGUUAAUUAUGUCCAUACUAUCCUAAAAAGAAAAUAAAAAUGUUAAAAAACAGUAAGCCCCAUGUGAGUAUACGAGUGGCAUGAAACCCAUAAGUACAUUCACUGUGGUGGCAUAUAAAAUAAAAUAAAUAUUUCUUUUCUGCUCUAUAAAACAAAAAUAUAAAAAUAGAGAGUAACAUUUAUUGAGGAUGCUCAACUUGAUAAAGGCUAGAUAUUUAUGCUAACACCUAAUCAGUUCCACACAGCUUUGUUGUCUAUUUGAGCUCCACAGAAUUUAAGAAUCAAAAAGACUAGCAGACGGAGGACAUUCUAAUCGCUGUCAGGAUACUGCCGACUUUCAAAUACACCUCUGCCACCUGCUAGCUACAUCAGAAGAAAUUACGUCAAAAUUCAGCUUGGGGGGAGCACCCCUAUUUAUCUCGCUAAGUAUUUCUAUCUAUCUUUAUACUUAUACUAUAUUAAAAUAUAAAUAUACAUAACUAUGGAAAACCAAAUAAAGAUUUUAUGCUUAUAUAUAUGUAUCUUUUGCUUAGUGUGUUUAAUAAAUAAAAAAAGUGGCUAGGCUAAACUGAAUCUUAAUAAUAAAACUCUAGCACCGAUGUGAUGAAUAGUUGCUCUACCUAAUUUUCAAAUUUGAGUUUUCUCUCAAGUUUAGACAUAACUGUUAUAAUUUAAAGCUUGCUCUAAGCCUGAACUUGUGGGAAGAGAACUUGAUCUGAAGUCUAAGUUGUUAACGAAUAUGAUAUGGGAAGGUUGAGCUGCUGUUUAUCUGUUCCUAGAGAUGCUAGAAUUCUGGAGAAUUUUAUCUUUUAAAAAUCUUUAAAAUAUUGCAUGAUGAGUUCCUGUAUGAUGAGAGUUUAAAUUCCUACCACAGCCAUAUAUACAUGCUUGCUAGACUUUGAGCCACACAUUUACUUUUUACUGCUUAUGAGCAUUGAGUGUGGACAAGCUGUGUAGACCCUUAGGAGCUUGUCAUGUGGUUAAAAUCAAGAUUCGCUUGCACGUUCACUCACACAUGCUGCUUCUACUCCGGAAGUACGCAUCCACAUAUAUCCACUCAUUUCCAUCUCUAGAACCACCCAAAAAUAUUCUACUCCUAAUCCGGGAGAGAAUAGCCAAAAACAUUUCUGUUUUCAAGUGUGAAAUAAAUGCUCGAGUUAUCUUGGUUACUACCACUUGCUAUAUUAUUUCAGAAGAUGAGUGCUCUAAAAAAAAAGAUACGAGGAAAUAAAAAGGGGUACCAAAUACCCACCUGAGAGGAAAAGAAAAAUAAAAACUGAAGCAUCUCAUUCUCCUCACAAAGUUUCAAAAAGCAAGGAAGGUAUGUAUCCCCUCAAAGAGCAAAAGUAGAAUUAGACUUUCACCAUUGUCAUCACCAUACACCAUUCAUUCGCCACACAUGCACAUCUUGAUUUGACUUAUUGACUUAUUUCUUUGGAUCCAUGGUUUGACUAUACAAUAAAUGUCUUGUAAGUAUGUAUACUUUAUCUCCCACCUAUGAGCUCCAGAUAUUAAAGCUUUGUUAGAGUAGGAUGAGAGAGAAGGCAAUAUCACAAUGCCUUAUACCAUAAAUGCUAUAUACUUUGAGAGAAGGCAUAUACCAUUAAUGCCUUGGUAAGGAUCCAGAAAUACCACAAAAGAGAGAUCUGAGAGAGUCAUACAAGGAAUCUCUGAGUUUUAUUUGAAAAUCUGCAAAAAAAACUCCAGAGCUAGAGGUGAUCAAGAAUAAGAGACAUGACACUUGACUAGACUGUUCGAUCUUUUAACUACUCAAGACGGAAGUGACAGUUACAAGUCCCAUGGUGAAAGGUAAAAUGAUUAAGUUUUAAGUCUUGACAGUUUACUCUAACUCAGAGAUGAGACCUUAUUUAAAAGCAUGUGUACCGUCAACUUUUAAAGGCAUUACAACAACUUCUGAUCCAUCGCUGAGAUUAUCCUUGCUCAG